ACCCACACUCUCUAAUUUUAUUUUAAUUUGAAAAUAAGAGAAAAUGAGCGAUUCAAUCGAACCGUCUACGUCGUCGCGGGAAGAUCCGGACCUGGCACCGAGUCCGAAUCCGAAUUCCAUAAUCCACCCGCGGCGGGAGCCUUUCGAGCACGGCCUGCUACCAAUCCCCAAGCUCAUCCUCAGCGACCCGAUCCAAACCCUAAUCCCGCUCAAGCUGAAGCUCGCCCCGACCGGCCGAGUGAACUCGGAAACCCUCGCUGAGUCGCUCCAGAUCUCCAUCGACCACGCCCAGCUUGUUCUCGAUACCCUUGGGUCAGUGCUCCACGCUGACGCCGACCCGAUCGUCAAGGCUCGGCCCGCUGAGAUUGACUCGGUCGGUGCCGAUUUGAGGGAUCUGAUACUGUUCUUGUACAUACAGUCUUAUAAGAGGUUAUUGCCCAGGACGCACAAGGACUCUGCCUCGGUCGCUGACGUGUGGCCCUCCACGUCUGCCUUUGAUGGGUACUUAUCGGCUUUGUCGCCGCUUCAGGUUAAUUUUUUUCUUUAUCGCCGUGUUCAUUUGUGCAAUGUACAAUAUUUCUUAGAAUUAUUGUGUCAUUUUUAUUGAAUUGCUAGCGAUUUAUUGGGUUUUCAGAUGGGAUUGUACUUGUCGAAUAAUUAAUUAGGGAAUUGAAUUACAUUUGAUCGAACCUUAGCUGUUCUUGGACCGAUUUUCUCGUGCAUUUUCUUUUUUCUUUUUUAUAAAAUGUUUCCAAGAAUAUGAUCCUGUAGUUGCAUUUGAUACUAAUUUGGGAUGUUGAUGUGCUUGUUGGUUGGGAAUGGUGUAGAUUUGAGACUCUGUAUAAUUCCUUUGUUUGCUGCUUUUAGUGGUGGUUGACAUUUGCAAAGGAGCUCAGAGUUUCAGAAUGUUUGUUGGCAAUGUUUGAAGUACUUAAGCAAGUUAGCAUUUUAGCUUUAUGAGAUGCGUGGCAUAGUAGGUAUUGUAUUAUAAGUCUACUGAGUGAUAUUUAUGAAGGAGAAAUGAUCCUAGCAAGCAUUGUAUCAUAGUUUACUGCUUAUAAGAUUGAAUUCAAAUCACACUGUUUAUAAGCAAUGUGUUAUAGUCUUUACUUGCAGAUGUUUAAGGAUGAAUCGGUGAGGAUAGUAGCUUACACAAUUGAAUUUUACUCUCUACCCAGACGUUGCCUUUUUUUUUUUUUCCUGUAAUUGAACUUCCAAGGAGUGUGAAUUUGAUUAUGUAUCAGCAUUUUAUGAUCUUUAGGGAAAUUUUCGUAUCAAAAGAAAAUUGGAGAAGGUAUUAUCAUUAUAGGACAAAUAGGCCUCUCUUUGGGCAUCUGUGUCCUCAGAAUUUAAAGAGCAGGAUUGUUAUGGGGCAGUGACUUGACAUAUCGAUAUAUCUGUAACCAUUUUUGUCAUUUAGAGAUUUGGGUGGGGUUUUCUUUUCUUUUCUAUUAUUUAUUUAUUUUUGAAAGUCUAUAAAACUUUUUUUUAAUUCUAUAUGAUAUUCAUAUUUUCCGGCCUUUUGUCCUUGUUUAUUCCCUUGAUUUUUGAGUUGACUCCCUUGUAAAUCUUUCUCUUUUAAUUUAUGAACCUAUAUUUGUUUUCUUAAAAGUAAUUAUAUUUUCACUUCAUAUGUUGCUACUGUGAACUUUGAAUUGGGAGUCUGUGAUUUUUAAGCCUGGUGUUGACAUUGCAGCUUGUGCGGAGCAACAGCCGUCGGUUCAUGCCAUCACAAUCUGACGAAGAGGCUCAUCAAUUAUCCUAUCUGCAAAAGCACAUGGCUAACAUUCUCCAGCUUUUGGCAGAGCCUGCUGAGGGGGAAGGCGAGGAGUCUUUGGUAUGCCUUUUACUGUUUAGUCCCUUCAGUUUGGUGGAGGUUAUACUUCGGAGUUUUCUAAUAUUGGGCUAGGUUUUUAUAUGGUUAAAACCAAAUGGAACCCCCUCUGUGUAAUUUCUGAUGCUCUUAUUUAGCCAUGGCCUUUUUUGUUUAUGCAUAUGCAGUCAUAGAAAUUAGUCCUUUAAUCGAUUGUAAAUGAAUAGUCAAGACGGUAGCAUGUUCUCUCCAUACUUAGUUUUAAGCUUGGAUGUAGUCUUUAACAAUAUUAGUGUCAUAGACAAUAUCAGGAUGCGUGUUUCCUGUAAUAGGAAACAUUAGUAUCUCCAUAUAUAUAUUGAUAAUCAAAAUGGAAACGUAAAAUGCAAUUUAGUUUAACUGCUGGCAACCCUAUCUUUCUUUUUUACUUUUUGCUCUCUCUCUCUCUUUAAAGUUUAAACUUUCUUUUUUGCUUUACUCUCUUUCUCGCUUUUAAAGUUUAAAUUCUUUGGGCAGUAGGCAUUUCCCUUGGUAGAGUUGGUAAUGGAGAUACUAACAUAUCUAGACUUUAAUCUGAAGAUAAUCAUGUACUCUUUGGCCUUCCAAAUCCUAGCAAAAGUUUUUGAAUUCUGAGAAUGUUCUAAGAAAAGAUUUACAAUACUGACUUAAUGAGUAAGUUUUAGCAGAAAAUUUAAUGAAUUUUAUCUGUGAUUAAAAAUCUUUCCUAAAUAAUAUCCUUGUUUAAAUCUUUUCAACUAAAUGUUUGGCGUUUAGCAUGUCGAGUGCUCUAAAUGCCUCUUGGAUCCCUAAAUCAUUCAAAAGCUAUUCCUCUCCCCCUGUGUGUGUGUAUCAAAUGUAGAUUUGUUUUUACCCCUAAUUACCAUUUAAUGUUCUUUUUGUCUCUUUAUAACCUAUGAAUAUAGUCACAUUUUCUUGUUAGUCAAGUUUUUUUUUUUUUGAACACGGUCUGUCGGAUUUGACCUUAUGACCUUGUGCAUUUUUAUCCCAACAGAAAAAAUAUAACAUCGGAGAAAUUGUUUUUUGACCCAAACAGUUCUAGCGUGUGUAUGCUAUCAUACAUCCUAAAAGAAAAGAUUAUAUUUGUCAGAAUUGAAUUGAUCUGGAAAAAUAAAAAUAAAAAGAAUCUUGCACUGCUGCUGCUCUUAGCGGUAAUUGGUAGCGAUGGUAGGAUUUGAACCAGUAAAGUUUUGUAACCAAAUAAAAUGCACUACCAAGCUGUGCUACAUCCCUUUCAAUUGGUCUACGGUACCAUCAUUUCUUAAUCUUAUCAUGACAACAGAGUACAAUCAUCAUGUAAUACUAUGUUAAAUGCAAAGUGGAUAUACAAUGGUAGGUUGACAUUAUUGUGUUCUAAUUUGUCUAGGAUUCAUAUUUAGCUCUAAAAUUUUUCAAAAUCCAUUUGAUCCUUUCUCAAACACCCCCUCUCCUUUUAUCAAAAGAUUAAAUGAAGCAUCUUUUUAAAAAUAUAUAUAUAUAUGAAUUGCUUAUCCAAAACGUGGCAUGUCUUUACUUUGUUGCUUCACUUGCUUUUGUUCUUGUGAUACUGCCUCCUUCUUGUAUUCUGUGUUCAAGGGGGUUAUAUGAUUUAUGUUUUAAACUGUUUUUUUUUUUAACAUUAUUCAUUUUUCUUUCACUUUGUAGCCAUCUGCAGUUAUAUUUGAACUAUCUUUUCUUAUUAAGAUAAAUAUGAAUUGGACAAGGCUCAAUGAUGCAUGCAUUUCAGCGUGCAUGCUGUAUAGGUGUAGAAUGCCUGACUUGAAUUUUCUUCUUUGUAAGGCAUGAAGGGCCUUUCGUAUUAAGUUGGCUGUUAGGUUUUUCAUCAGUAGUGGGCUCAUUUGUGGCUAUAUUUCUAUGACAAUCUGUGGAUGAUAUCGGUUUUGGUUGUGAACUGAGAUACUUGAAUCAUGAUUUGACUAUGAUAAAGUUCCCCGCCUGAUACACUUUCACAGAGAUAAUGUUUGUUGGCAUAAAUUGAUUUAAACCCUAGUAAAUAUAUGGAAAUUUGAUUAUUCAUCUAAACAUAGUUUCAUUUUUGUGCUUCUUUGUACCAAAGUAGCUUCAUAUCAAUUUGCUAGUUCGCCCUGCUGUUUUAGGUCUUGAGCAUGGAAGGAUUUGAGCACCUUGCAUUUCUGAUUCAAUUUGGUGAGAAGGGGUCUGAAGGAAUUCCUUUAAGCCAAGCAGCUCCAUUUUUCGCCAAUUCAGAUCCCGACAUGCCUGCUGUUCCUGUUCCUGCCGCACAAGUUCAUGAUUGGCUUCUUCAGAAUAUAGCUUCUGCAUUGGAACAUCUUACUGAAAGAGUUUCCCCAAGAGAAAAUGGGCCAGCCAAUAACUCUGAUCAGGAUGUGGCGAUGGCUGAUGCCUGCACAAGUUCAAUCAAGUCGUCAACAAGUGCAAAGGGUCCAAGUUUUAUUGAAGGGAUCUCCAAAGCAUCAUAUGUAAAGCAAGCUUCUGAGAUUAAAGGUUCUUCUGUCAAGGUUAGGUUUGAAAAGUAAAUUUGCUAUGUUUGACUGAAAUCUUGGUGAUUACAAGUCUAUUGCCUUUUAAAUUUAUGUUCAUUUUCACUGACUAUUCUGGAAUUACUUUUUCCUUUUAUUUAUUGCUAGCUUGUUGCACUUACAUUCAUUUUUGCAAUAAGGAACAGAAAAGAAAGGUGUACAGUGAUUAGGGUUGUUAGAAGGUGGAAUCCUGGACCAAAUUUACAACAUUUGACCCAAUUAUUGUUUGAUAAUUGAAGUUACAUUUCUUAAAUUAUUAGAUGUUGGUGUUAUCAUUAAUUAGGCGGAUUACUAUAUUUGGGUAUUGAGAUUUGGGCUAGCAUACUCACUAAGCUAUGUUAUCAAUCUACAUUAUUAUGAUGCUUCUUGUAGUCUCUUUAGGACUUAUACGGAUGACCUUCCCAAGUUGGCAAGUGCUUAACUUUUUUCGGGUUAUCAAGUCUCAAACAGAAUAACAGCCAUUGUCAUUUCUGCUAUCGAGUCUAGUCAACAUGUUUUCUUACAUGCUUUCUGCAUUGUCUUAAUGUAUUAAUUUUUUAUAUAGUUUCAUUUUCAAUACGUUUGACGUUAUGUACAUCAUUGCAGGUUAUCAAUUGCCAUGAUUCAGCCAUUUACAUUUUAGCGCCUUUAAGAUAUGCCACAAUAUAUGGAUGCUCAGAUGCCACUAUUAUUCUUGGAGCUGUUGGCAAGGUAGUAACAAGAUAUUCGUUUUGUCCAUUCAAAUAUUGAGUGUUGUGAUGACUUCCUCAUUUACUUUGGCUGAUUAGCAGAUUCCAUCCAUUUAAUCCAUGAUGUUUAACUGACAGAUUGACAACAAUAUUACUCCUGUGAUUAUUUCAAAUCAAUAUGGUUAGGAUACUGGUUCUCUGUAUGUCUUUCUCGUCCCCGCAUACAGUGUCCAUCACUCAUAAUAACUGGUCAUAUCCAAUAUUGCUUGGGUAGAGAAGUAGCUAAUGAUGAGAGUGUGUGGUAGAAUGUUCUGAACUCGUGUGUUCAUGCAUAAUUGCAUUCUUUGUCAUGGUUGAGAUUAUACUGAUUAGCUAGGUUUUUCAGUCCAUUACCCAAGAUAUUCUAAGGUCAUUCCUGCAAAUGCUGCUAGAAAGAGUAUCACAUGCACACCAUUCGAUAAACAAUUUUUUCUAUCAAAGGACAUGAGUGCAGCUUCCAGAUGAUCUCUAUGUAGACGUCAUAGAUGCAUGUAUAAAAUUUGGAAACAUUUUGCCAUUUCAUGGUGCUACAAAUUGAGAACAGGACAUCUGAAACUUUUCUAAUCUUUUGUGUGUUCCUUUUAGGUUGUACUAUUUUCAAAAGAUAGUAUAUACUGGCAUGCAGUCUUUCUUAAACUGCUUGAUAAAGGGUCUUGAGUACUCAUACAUAUUCAUUUCUUUAUUCCUGGUCUGGGUUUUAACAGGAAUAUUCCCAUUGACCUAAAUAAUUAUGUAUACUCUCACCCUGGGAAAUGUCAUUCGUUUUUCACUUGCAGUUUUCUUUCAUAUUUGAGCAUUUACUGUCUUCUUUCUUCUCUGUUAUGUCAAGUAAUCAACCGGAUAAUUGUAGUAUAUGUCUUUAGCUAGCAUCUGAGUUUGACUUUAUGCAUUAUGUUGCCUCUUUUAUCUUGGAUGGAAGGUAAUACUAGUAAAGUAUGAUGUAUGAUUUUGGUUCCUUCUGCAGGCUGUAAGGGUUGAACACUGUGAGCGAGUUCAUGUGAUUACAGCAGCAAGACGAGUCUGCAUUGCCAAUUGUCGCGAGUGCGUCUUCUUUCUGGGAGUAAACCAGAGACCACUCAUUGUGGGUGAUAACCAUAAGCUACAGGUGAGUUGGUCAGUUUUGAUGUUGUGUUCACAAAGUUGGCAGCUAGUUCUUUGUGCUUAUGAAUUUGCUUCCUAUUGAAAUGGACUAUAAUGAUUUUGGGAAAUAAAUGAUAUUGUGUUGUAGAAAAUUAGUUUAGCUUAUUGGUGGAGUUGCUUAGUUCUAGAGUAAGUUGUUUUGGUCUAUUUGCUAUUAUGCCAUCAUGUGCUUGGCAUGAAGAACAGGCAAGACAACUGUACUGCGUGGGCCAUACCGGCCUUUAAUGGAAAUAUUGGACACUAUCUUGUGACGAGCUAACUGUUUUCUUAUUAUAUUUCUGUUACAGCUUAUAUUAAUUAUGUAGUUUUUCCUCUGAAUAGAGGUAGGAUUUCACAUUAGCUAUAGAAUUCUAUGAGCAACAGCCAAUAUGGUAGUCAUUAAUUUUAAGCUUGGCAGCAGGCAGUUUCAUAAAGGAAUUUUAGAAUUUAUAAUGGUCACUUCAUUCUAUUCUAGUUGACACUUUUGUUGGAAUCAUUUAGAACCAAUCUCACUGGACCAAUUCUUUAUAUACCUUCUGACUCUAUUUUCAGUCAUGCUGAAAAAGUUAGAAAUCAAGAAACAACUCUGGCUAAAUGGUUAAGCACAGCCUGGACAUAUUAUUGAUUCACUUGAAAUAUUAGGCAUCUACUGAAGAUAUCAUUUAAGUGAUCUCUGGAGUUCAUCUUAGUUGCAGUGGUAGUUUGGACCCUAAAAUCUGGUGAAGCACUUUACUGAUGGUUUUCAUAGAUUCUGAUUUUCAUGCCUGAUGUGAUAAGAAGACUCACAUUUCUUUUCAUUCUUUGGAUUCUUGUCAGGUGGCACCAUAUAAUACAUUUUACUCUCAGUUGGAGGAGCACAUGGCGGAAGCUGGUAUUGAGGCAACUAUCAACAGAUGGGAUGAACCCUUGGCACUCGGAGCAGUUGAUCCGCAUGACUCAUUAUCUCAUCCGGCAGGUGUCUCUGAUGCUCAAGCUGAGUCAGCUACUCAUGUAGAUCCUGACCAAUUCAUAGAUUUUUUGGUAUGCUAACUUGGGUUUGUUUUAUUCUGUUUCUUCUAUUUAUUUGUUUUCAAAUCACAUAUCACCUAUGACCAUAUCCAUUUACUUCUUGACACAGAUCCCAAACUGGUUUGGAGGUGAAUGUGCUGGGUCAACAAAAGCCAACCCUUUUCCAUUACCAGAUGCUUAUGUAGCAGCUCAGCAGAGAAAAGUAUGUGCACCAACCCAUCUGAUUAUGACCAGAUGAUUUGAUGUCUUUUAAUUCCUGAGUUUUCAUGUUUUUUGUGUUAGUAAGUGAUACUCUAAAAGUUGGUUUCAGGUUCUUUUACUGAUAUUCAUGUUUGCUAUCAUAAAAAAAAAUGUUCUUCAUGUUUGGUUUUCUGAAAUUAUUCUCUCUUUUCCACAGCAAAAGAGCUGGGUGGAGAUAAAGAAGCUUAUCAAGGAGGCACCCCUAGAUGACAACCGGAAACGGGAAGUGUCAAGUGCACUCCAUGUAUACUUCAGAGACUGGCUAUAUGGUAAUCUUCAUAUUCAGCUUUCUGAAUUUUCACUUCUUUCGUAGUUCUUUGCAGUAUGCUCAAUUCACUUCUCAUUCGAUUGGUUGAUGCUUGUACUCUGUGGCUUUGAUACUAGAAAAAAUGGGAAAAAGAUGUGAAAGGCGGACUCCCAUCUUAAAAUUAAUAUUGGAAAGUUGAUUUAAAGGAUUAAUUUUUCUGCAUAUUUCCCUUACCAGCAGCCUAUGCUUUGCUAUGACAUAAUAUAUUUUCAGUUGAUUUUGUUUGCCUGAUUUGAAUGUAGUUACUGAAACUAGGGGUUUGAUACUUCUAUAUCAGAGAGUAUAUGCACCUCGAUUGAUCCCUUUUCCAUUCGUUUAUGUAGAUUUAUCUCUAGAAUAGAUAGGUGAACUACAUACAUAUUUCCUGCAUCAAAAGGAGGGUUAACGAGUCAUAGCUCUCUGCAGUCUUUAUUACAUUCCUAUUGAAGUUUCAAAUAGGCAUUUUUGCACACCUGCCCUAUUCCUGCCCCUUUCUAUUUCAUGUUAACGUAGUACAAAAUAAAAAUUCUGUUCUUAUAAGUGCUUUACUACCUUUUAUAUUGUUGACAUGGUUUUUUACUUGUAUUACGCAUCAUAUGAUUUUCUAUUGUAAUAAUCGUGUGAUUUUCUAUUGUAAUAACAGCUACAGGAAAUAUCCGUCAGCUUUACUGCCUACAAAAUGACUAAUUCUGUAUGAUGAUGCUGUGGACAAUCAAGGAUGUAAGAGAAAGUAGCUUUCCUUCAGGUUCUCUUUUCUGUUUCAACUCCUCCCAAGUUGCUCUAGCAUUCCCUGUCAAGUACUACACGCUGCUGAGAGUCAACCCUAUGUAGUUCGGGGCGGUAUUUAUUAAUGCAUCGACAAUGAUGCACAGAAUGCAAUUAGAAAGACAUUGACUAAUCUCAGUGUAAUAUUUUUUUUUCCCCUUCAAAUGAAAAAUCUUACUGUAAUAUUUUGUUUAUCUAGGUUUGUAGGCAUAUGAAGUUUUCUUUCUUGGUUCCAUCUUUUUGGUCUGGCCUUGUGAAAUUCAAUUACUUGAGUUCAUUAAUUUUUAAGUUUUGCCCAUUUGUUUCUUUCCUCCUGUAAGCAAAGAUUUGAGUUGUCGGAUAGGUUUUGAUUGUUUAUUUACUUAGGGCCCAGCUAAAUUGACUAUCAUUCUGUUGUAAAUUAAUGUAGAUUUUACCCUUAAUUUUUACCAACUCAAUUUCCUACAGACAAGUUAAGGAUCAGAAAAGUAUGAGGUGAACUAAGCACUGUUAUUGGCGACGUAGGUGAGAUGCAAUGUUUCAUACAGAAAAGGAACAAAAAUGGAAGGAAAAAGAAACUAAGAAUUGAGCAAGGAAUUUACAUCUGCCUAAUAUAAAUGUCUACGUAAUAGCAGGAGUUAAAGCUAUCAGAAUAUAGCAUUUGAUGAAGUAAAAAAGAGCAGGCCUAGAAUAUGAAUAUCGAAAUCUUUAUUAAAUCUCUUAUUUUCACUGAUUCUGUGGCUCAACAGUGGCUGUGCGUUCUGAACGCCGCCUCUUUCGCUGUAGUCUGAAGCCAUAAGCUGCAAGUCCGAUUGCUACAGGCAGGAUUGAUAUAGUUAGAAUGACAAAAAGCUUCACUCCAUCUGGUGCAAUGCUUAUUACUGCAGUGUCAUAGGUGAAAUUCAUUGCCAAGAAACACAAUUGAAGCUCAAACUGCAGAGGAAACUUGGUUGUUAGGAUGUUGAUCAUUUGAAGAGACAAUUUAAAGCCCAGAGAGUUGAAAAACAUAUAAAGGCGAAAUGCAAUUGUGUUCGUAGAACCCCAAAUAGACUCCCCUGCAAUGUGUGUUUUGCUGGUGGGUAUGCUAUUGUCUUGCCAUGCACCCCCUGGAGGGUUGACGCCAAACUGGAAGGUUGUUGUUGCCACCAAAGCAGCUACAACCAAUAGUGAACUGCGGGUUUCACCAGGAGAGUCUCUUCCCUUUUUAAAUUUGAAAUACUCCGUCACAUCAUUUUUUGUUCGCAGUGGAUUUGUCUCUGCUGAUGAUGCUGCAGGAUUAUCGGUUGAUGUUUGAUUGUCAUCUCUCAUUCCCGUAGCUCCAGCACUCCGAAGGAUCUCCUCAAUUUCCCUAUCUCCAGCUUCACUCAGGAAAAUCAGCAGCAGGUCAAAUGCAGUGAGACCGCUAUGAUUUAUGGCAUUUACUUCCAACCCCUGUGAAGCAUUGGCUUGAUGGCCAAGUAAGAGUUCUAUUACCUGCAAGUGAAUCCAAGUUUUCAAUUGUUCUUUAUAGUCAGAAGAUAAAUCAUAUGAUACUUGACAUGUAUUUUCUUUCGUAGCAGUUAUAUUUGUUUCUACUCGAGCAGUUAUAUCAAUCAUUUUCUAAGUUUUCAUGACAUGAAGUGUGUCUAACUUGGAAGUCAACUCGUCCUAGGAUAUGAAACACUGAGCCUAGUCAAUAGAUGGAGUUUCCAGCUAACAAAGUUGCUAAAACUAAAAUAAGAUUGGAGCAUGCAAUGAGGAAAUUUUUUUAGUGACCAGUUUUUUUAUUCGCCAGUUUCUGUAGACACCAUCAUUUUGAACUUCACUGGUGGUUGGUCGACAUGAUACCGCAGAAACACAGGAUUGAACUGAGUUUAGCACUUGCAGGGGGAUAAAUUUAAAAUAGAGGAAAGUUUAAGCUCUUAGGAAACACAUUUUUCCCUUUUAUUUUAUGACCAUUUUGAAUCCACGCUAAUCAAUUCUCUAAACAACUGUACAAAACUGUAAGGAUCUUAUAACAGAUUUUGAUUUUAUUGGCAGGUCAGAUAUGACUGUUUUAACUGCAUAGUGACGUACAGUUCAAAUUUGUAAUUGAAGCAAAUUAGGAACCUUAUUGCAGAUACAUGGUUCUCUAGAUUCAAGAGAUAUCCAGGCUAAUGAAGCUUAAUAAGACAUGAGCUUUCAGUGGCCUCACAGUCUAAACUCAAACACUGCUUUAUAAUGAUCUGAAAGCAAUAGAAACAAGAACUAACUUGAUUGAAAAUUAUUGAAUACGGGAUUAAAUAUAAGAUUGGACUUGCCUGGCGUUGUUUCUUCAAGGUGGCUAGGUGCAGCACUGUAUUUCCUUGCUCAUCCCUCAUAUUGAAAAUAUGUUCCUUCUUCAUCUCUCUAAUCCAAUCCACAAUAAUUGCAAUCACUCCAUACUGGCUGUUCUUAAUAGCAAGGUGCAAAGCAGUAUCAUGCUGAAUGGUCACGUCUUCGACACAUUCUGGACAAGCUGAAAGCAUUUCGGCUACAGCAUGAGACCUCCCUUUGAUAGCUGCACAGUGCAGGGGAGUCUUUGCCUCUGGUCCUUGUAGCUGACAAAGUUUUCGGUCAACUUUGAGUUACUCCCUUACAACCUCCGUGUGCCCUAUUGAUGAUGCCAUGUGCAGAGGGCUAAAACCAUCUUUGUUCACUUCCUGAGCCAUAUCUGGUCUCAGGUUUAUGAUCUCCUUUACAAAAUCAAUGUGCCCAUAUGCCGAAGCAACAUGUAGAGGAUUUCCUGCUGAAGUUAGUGCAGAGGUAUGCAGUAUCAAGGGAUUUUCUCCCAGAAGUUGGUGCAAGCUUUGGACAUUUCCUGCUUGAGUUGCCUCAAAUAGCUUUCUAUCCAUUGAGGUGGAAUAUACCCUAUGCCUUAGUGUUGUCCUUAUGUAAGCACACAGGACUUCACUUAUGGGAAAAUAAUAUGAAAAGGAGAUAUAAUUCACGGAGGUAUGGUUUCUUUAGCCUUUCCAAGAAAAAUUUUCUUAUGGACAUGAAACCUUUAUUUUGUUUUAAGGCCAUGAUCAUGUAUCUUGACAUUGUUACAUCAAGACUAGUAUAUAGGUUUUCCUAACUGACAUGAUUGACGAAAUAAAGGUCAGUAGAAUCAUUUAAUUUUAAUAAAUAAAGAAGCUCCAUUUCAGGUGAGCAGAAUUUAAAAUGAAUAUCUUACCAUGCGCAUUUUUCUAAUGAGAAGUAUCCGAAUCUAUGAUUGCCUGGAGCAGUUUCCCUCACCAAUUAUCAGGGUUGGCGGUUGAAGUAAACAGCCGGGAGGCAACGUUCAAAUUUGAAGUGUUAGUAAAGGAUUGCUUUUAGACCAUUUUUCCAUCUAAGGCUGUGGAAAUUUGGAAAUAUUUUUUUUGUAGCUGCAGCGAUUUUCAUUUGGGGAUUUUGAUUGAUAAUUGAAGUUAUUGUUACUAGUAAAAACCAAAAUGAAAAUCAAUUAACAAAAUAAAAAAGUAAUUAAUGAAACAAAAAUUAAACAAUUAGGUCAUUUUGACUUUAUUUCAAAAAAUAUAAAAUUACAUUUUCAUCCUAUAUAAAGUUUAAAUAAAGUGGGCAAGCGACUUAUCAGUCUUUUUAUACUUAAUUUUUAAUAUUUCAUUUCAAAACUUCAAUUUUUUUUUUCCAAAUCUGUCUCUGUGACCAUCCUCCUGCCUCCAUAAGCCUCUGCCCUUGCCAAUAUGUUAUGUGACUCAAAUUUCAUUACUUCAUUUGACAGAAGACAUUUCUCUUUCGUUAAACUUCAAUGGUUUUCAUUAUCAAUAAUAAUAAUAAUGACCAGUUUUUCUUAGAAACAAAAUCAGAAGAUUUCAAACAAAACCGCCUGGAUUUAUCCCCAGACAAUUUAGGAAGGUUAACGUAACCCAACUCACAAGCACUAAAAAGUAAAAACGUUCACUUCACCCGUAUUUCUCAAUGAGAGAAGAACAGAAGGAUUUCAAAUUUGGUCAAACUAACCAAGUAGUUCACUUCUUCUCUUUUAUAUUAUUUAUUAGGACCCUGAAUUCUAUAUUUCAUCAUGUAAAUUGCAAAGGAAAUGACUCGAUUCAGCACCAGAAUAAAUUUAGUGAAUCUAUAUCAAAAUAAAUUUAGUGCGGACUAUAUUUUAGUGUCUUUUGGUCUCUAUUUGGUAUUGAGAUACUGUAGUUUUUAAGUUACAGCUGCUACGAGAAAAAAAACUAUAAUUAUAAAAUAAAAAAUAAUAAUGAGUAAUAAAUAUGACUUUAAAAUAAUAGUUUUAACAAAAAUAGUAAAGAUAUUAUGUGUUUUUCAUCAUAUAAGUGGUAGUUCAAAUCAAUUUGGUUUCCAAACUAUAACAACUAAUAUUUACUAAAUACUUUAAUACUGUAGCUUAAAAGAUACAACUGUUCAACCUCAAUACCAAAUAAGAGAAAUUAUGAAAUACAUGAAAGGUAAUACAACUAAGUAAUGAAUAUAUGACGUGUAUUUAAAUUUAAUAUAACCACCACUUACAUUAUGUUUUUCAAAAUAAAUACACAUAUGUCAUAACAUAACGUGUUGGUUUAUGGCUGACGUGGUAUUUCUGAUGUAUUCUAAAAUUUCCCACCAAAUAGAGCUUUAUUUUUCUUAGAAUUAAAAAACUUGCCAACUUAUCAAUAAAUAAGAGCUUGUAGCUAUCGCAAUGUAAAUUAAUAUCCAUGUACAGGCUAUUGUUACAUGAACAACAAAUAAUUCAUGGAUUUCAAUAGGUUGGCUCAUUUCCCAGGGAAAAAGAAAGAAAUUCUUUUGUAGUGAUCACGAAUUGAUGAUUUCCAGUUAAUGAGAGGAUAAAAGAAAAUCGAACGAUUUUUUUUGCAACACAUGUAGAUUAACUUUUAUAUGCUCAUGGAAACCAAAUUUGAACUUUUAAAUAGGUGAAUAGGUACCCUUAUUUUCUCCUGUGUGAGUUAACGGUUGGAUCUAAAGGGAGGAGUUGUUGAAUGGCUUAUUUGGUAAUUAACAAUUAAGUCCCUGUUUUUAUUUUUUAAGCUAAAAAAAUAAAAAUAAUUUAAUUAUUAACAGUAGUCAAAAUUGUUGCAACUUUUUUUUGGUAAAUAUCUAGGUCCAUUGACAUUUCGACCAUUAAAAUUACUUAGAAUAUGAGAGUAACAAUGUAGUUCUCUAAAAUAUUCUAAAAUACAUGAAAAAUGACAUGUAUCAAUAAUAAAUUCUUGUCACAUAAAAUUUAUUUAAUUUACAAUAAAUAAUUUGAAUAUAUUAAUUUACCAAUAAUGCAUAAAAAAUAUAUAUAAUUAAUGACAAAAAAAUAAAUAUGUCCUUUUUAAUACUUAGAGACACGUCACGCUUUUAUGAAUAAUUUGUCAAACAUUUAUGACAACCUAUUUCACAAGUGAUUGCCUCGCCAUCUAGAUUUACUAAACAAUUUAUGAAAUUAUUUGCAAAAUUGACAAUUUUAGUAGUAUUAUAUUGUAUUAAGUUACAUUAAAAUUUAAUACAAUACCAUAUACGGUGCUGCAUUGAACAACAUUGUUAAAUUUAUUUUUAAUGUUACAUAUUAUUAGUAAUAUCAUUGUUAAUAUUAAUUCUAAUAUUUAAUUUAAUUAUCAAUUCAAAUUUUGAUUUCAAAAUAAAAUUGAAAAAUGAGGCGGCUGACCAUUUUAGUUGGACGGUAAUUAUUUGCUUAACAAAAAAAAAAGUUAAAAUUAAGUUAAUGGGCAUUUGAGUCAUUUUGCCAUUUGUUUAAUGCCAACCGAACAAUAUAUCAAAACUUUGAAACUUCUAAUUUUUAUGGGCAGGUAAUCAUCUGGUUUGAUUGCUCUUACUGCAUAGUUCUUGCGGUUAGUUUUUCUAGUUAAAGCAAAUUAGGAAACCUCUUAUGUUACCUCUAUCCGAGGCUCUUAGCCUACUAGAUAGAAAUUCUAUCCGAACUGCACCAAAAAGCUUGCACUAGUAGACGAUCCAUUUAAUUUUACAACUUCUUAUGUUGGCUCUGAAUUGAUGUGCAGGCAAUGAAGCCAGAAGACAUAUUAACUUAUAUUAUAAUGUAAUAUUAUCAAUAAUAUUACAUGAUAUUGUAAUAUUUUAUUAUUUAUUAAUAACAUAUUAUUAAAUAAUUUUAUUAUAAAAAUUAAGAUAUAAAAAUAAUUAUUUUAUACUUAAUUUCAAAAAUUAAUAAUAAAACCCUAAAAUGUUAAUGAAUUUAAAUAAUUUUAACAUAAAUAUAUAUAAAAAAUUCUUUUAUGUAAUAUAAUCCACCCUACAUCAAACAACAAUGUACCUGAUGCAAUAUAGUUAAUACAAUAUUAUACAAAAUAAUAUGCUAAACGCACCCAUAAUAUUUACAAUCCAAUAUAUCCUAAUAUUAAUUGUAAGUGUCUCAUAUUAUAUCAUUUAUUUUUAAUCACUAAAAAUGCAAUAACAAAAAAAUCUAACAGCAUUUUAUUUGUCCUAAUUUAGUUAUAUUGAUUUUACAUUAUUAGUUAUUUUUUUAUUUGUAAUUUUACUUGGCAAUUUCAAUUCAAAUAAUGCAUACUAUAUUUCAAUAAUCAUUUGAAUUCUAUUUGUCGCUAUCAAAGUUUUAAUAUACGCCAAAGAACUGAAUCUAAAAAAUUAUAGUUCGUCUAAUCACUACCUUAUUUUAUUAAAAAGAUUUUAAUUUAUUUUACUUUAAUUGAUUCUAUAACUUUAAAUCCAAUUUCAAAUUGAGUUGAAUUUAUAUUAUUAAUGAUUGUAUGUUGGUUUCAAUUAUUGUAUAGAAUUAUUACUUUUUUUUAUGAACCUCGACAAAAGGAGGAAAGUUUUAUUAAAUAAAAAUAUAAUCAAAUUUAAUUAUUCAUUCAGUGUUUUUUUUUUCUUUUAUUAUUAUUAAGGUUACAUUAUGUUUUCAUUUCUAGUUAAAUUAUUAUGGUCUUAACUAAUUAAUCCCUGGGUCGCGUGGAUACUGAUUUUGUUCGAUAGGGCGUCAAAGAAUUAAUUAAAAAAAUAUUUACUUUUUUGUUGAUUACAAGUAAAAAAAUAUUUUAUGUGACUGCUAAUCUGCUAUUGCAUCAUAAACAUACUUCUGUAUUCUAAUAUUUGUUAAUAUCUGAAUAUCGUUAAACUAUUUUCUUAAUCUUUUUGCUCCAUUGUCUAGUAAUCUCUCAUCUGCACCCAGCAAAAAUAAAGAUAUUACCAAACAUAACGAAGUGGGAAAAAAAAAAUAUUAUAAUAUAUUGUAUUAAUUAAAUUAAAAUUUAAGACUAAAUCAUGUACGGUGCUAUAUUGAACAAGAUUAUUAAAUUUAUAUUUUAGUAUUACAAAUUAUUAGUAAUAUUAUGUUAAUAUUAACUAUAUUUACAUUAAUAUUUAGUUUAAUUAUCAAUUGAAAUUUUGAUUUCAAAAUAAAAUUGAGAAAUGAUGCCACCAGCCAUUUUACUUGGACGGCAAUAAUUUCUUUAGAAAAGAAAGUUAAAGUUAAUGGGCAUUGUAGUCAUUUUGCAAUUUAGGAAUUCUUGAACGCAAUCUUCUUCUUCUUCUUCUUCUCCCGCCUUUCUCGAAUUUGCCCAUUUAGGAAACUUAGUAGUUGCUUGCAAUUUAAGCUACUGAACUUAACGUUACUACUCCUCAGAUUACACGGACUAUAAAUAUAACACAAUACCACUCACCGACAUCAUUCCAUCUACUUUUGUUCUCUCUUUGUGUCUCGGCUUCUCUGUUUUUUCUUUUCAGCAAUUCACCAACAAUUUUUCUCAAUAAAUCAACCCACCGUUGAAAUAACCCUUUUCUUCUCAAACAAAAUGCAAGAACACAGACCCUUUCUUCCCCAUGGCUUCCAGUUCAGACCAUCAGAUGAAGAACUCGUUGAACAUUAUCUUAAGAAGAAGAUUUCCGGAAUACCCAUUCCUCUCGCUGAGUAUUUCGUCACGGACUGUAAUCUUUAUGACAAAAAACCCUCUGAAAUUUGGGAUUCACAUGGAGGACCCUUUUUGAAUGCUGAUGAGGAUAUGUAUUUCUUCACCCAAUUGAAGAAAAAGUCUUCUAAGGGUUCCAGAAUUGACCGCAAAGUCGGUUCUUCCGGUGGUGCUUGGCAAGGGGAGGAUGCCGGUAAAGACAUUGUAAGCGGCCAAUCUAAAAUCAAAAUCGGCUCCAAGAAGCGGUUUCGUUAUGAAAAGAAAGGUUGUGAGGAUCAUGGGGCUUGGAUCAUGCAUGAGUACACCCUACAUUUGCCCAAGAAUCAAGCUACCAAUUAUGUGCUUUGUAGGCUCCGAAAGAAUCAACCAACUGGCCAAGAUAAGAAGUUCUGUUCUGCAAAGAAAAGAAAGUUGAAGGAUUUUCAAGAAAACAACAAUCAAUCUGAACAAGUGACAGAUUCUGAGAUGGAGAGGGUUUUGACCCACCAACAAAAUCGGCAACAGAAUGAUGUGCAUUAUCAAGAAGUUAGUUGCAGCAGUACUGGCAUGAUGAGUGAGCAGAGCUUAUCUGGUGGAAUGGGCUUUGCAAGUAGUGUUGCUGAACAUUCUGCUGUAACUGAUCAAAUGCAACAACAUCAGUGUCAGCAGAUACUAAUUCAAAAUUCAGAAUGUCAUUACGAGCCAUCUAUGGAGAUGAUGAUGAGUAAUUUUGACCAGAUGUUAUAUAACCAGCAAUGUGACUCUGGAAACAACAUGCUUCAGAGUAGAGAAACUGGUGGGAAUUGUCAUUGUGAUUCGGAGAGUAUUGCUGAUGCCAUGGCAGUGCCUGAGUCAUUGGUGCAGCAAGAAGACUGUGAUGCACUGCCUGAGUUAAUAGAGGAAGACUAUUCUUUUCUGGAAGAGUUACUUUGUAAUGAUGCUCAAGAACCAAUAGGAGAUGGAGAAAGCAUUGAUGAGACUGAUGGAAUGGAUCAUUCAUCUACUGUUGCUGAGAAACAAUUUGAAGCAUUUGUUGUGGUGCUUGAUCAGAGUGUUCAAAACUCGAGCCUACAAGAAAACCAGCAGCAGAGAGAGUGUCAAUCUAAAGAAACCUUUGCCAUUUCAUCUGACCAUGAUUAUGAAAGCAGCAUUUCUCAGAGAAGAGAAUCUGGUGGAGUUGAUUAUGAGUUGGAAUCAAUUCAUCAGCUGCUUCUAUCUGGCCAAAAUGAUUGCGACUUGAUGCUGGACUUGGAGCAUAUCUGGUCUUAAUUGGAUUAUGACACGAAUUUGUGUUAUUUUUACUGUAAUAAUUUUUCCCCAUGUAAUUAAAAGAUUUGAGUUUAACAAUAACGUUCUCGUGGGUAACAGUAAGAUUUGAGGUUAAAUAAUUGCGCGAGAAAUAAUUUGCAUAUAAGUGGGAGAGUAAAUUCAUUUACAUUUUAAAUAUAUUUCUUAUGACCACUUUUAUACAUGGUACAGUUUAUGUUUCCUUCUACACGUUGAUUCAUUUGCAAGGCUAGCUAGAAUGGCUGAUCUGCAGAAAUUGCAAUCAAAAUGCUCAUUGACAACUAAUAUACCUGGCGAUGACCUUCAAUUAUAUUACUACUACUUGCAACAAUUUUAUUUUUCUGAGGUGUCAAUCAACAACUUUAUAACUAAUAGCUCAAAUCAGGACAUGAUGUAAUCUGUCAGAUGAUAUUGACAAAUGAUAUUAGUUUAUUUGCAGAAUCCAGUUGAAAUCAAUAGGAUCGAAAGCUCAUCACUAGGAAAAUAAAAUUGACCCUUGUCAACACUUUUAUGUAAUUGGUGUUCUAAAAUGACCUGAACAAUAUUAACCAAUAUGAAUACCCAAGCUCCAAUUGUAGAUGCACAUAAAGUCAUAUCUAGCAAAGCAUUUGGAGUUAUAUAAAGGUAACACAGCAACUGAAGAUAAUUGAGAUCUUGAACUUCUUGUCAAAUUUUAUUUUCAAUUACUUUAUGGAUCCUUUCUGCGUUCUAUAACCUUCUUUCUGCAUUUUCUUACCCAUCUAGCUGUAAGUGGAAUAAGUGCAGGUAUAAUUGCUUCGGUUACAAUGAUAAAAAUCCGUAUGCCAACAGGUGUAGUGGCUAUUACCGCAGUGUCAUAGGUGAAAUACAUUGCCAAGAAACACAACUGAAGACCAAGCUGCAGGGGGAACUUGGUAGUUAGAAUGAUGAUCAUGUAGAUGGACAAUUUAAACCCCAAGGAGUUGAAAAACAUAAAAAGAGCAAAUGCAACUGCAUUCUGCAUUCAUGGAACCCCAAAUAGCUUCCCCUGCAUUGUGUGCUUUGCUACUGCUUGUGCUAUUGUUUUUAUCAGGCGUAUAAUUGUCUUGCCAUACACCGCCAGGAGGGUUGACACCAAAUUGGAAGCUUGUAGUUGCCACCAAAGCAGCUACAACCAAUAGUGCACUGCGUGUUUCACCGGGAGAAUCCCUUCCCUUUUUAAACUUGAAGUACUCUACGAAAUCAUGUCUGCUGUCUAGUUGUCUCUGCUGAUGCAGGGCUAUUAACUGCAGUUUGACCGUGGGAUUCAGGUGAAGGACUUUCAGAGGGAGUAACAUCUCUCAUUCUUUUAGCUCCAGCUCUUCGAAGGAUCUCGUCAACUUCUCUGUCUCCAGCUUCACUUGGGAAAAUCAGGAGCAGAUCAAGUGCAGUUAGACCGCUAUGAUUUUACCUCCAAUCUCCCUGAAGAAUAUGUUCCAUGACCAAGUAACAGUUCUAUUACCUGCAAGUAAAUUAUAUUCUUCAACUGCUCAUUAUGGCUGGUAGAUAAAUCAUAAGAUACUUGGUAGUUGAUUUUUUUGUUUUUUCCCAAGAAGUUAAGUUAUCUAUUCAAGCAAUUUCAUCAUUCUAUUUCAUUUUUUUUUUCAGCACAUGACCUGUGUCUAACCCUACAAUUCUUUCUAGGAUUUGAAACACCAAGCCUUGUCAAUAGAUGGUGGCUUUCACUUAUAAAGUUGCUAAAUCGAGCACAAGCUUGGGGCAUUUAAGUGAGGCAAAUUUUUUAAUCACAGGUUUGUGUUCACUAUUUUCCUUGGACAUCAGCCAAUUAAUAUUCACUUAUGGCUAGUCAGCAUGAUUCCACAGAAACAGAAGGAUGGGAGCAUAACUUAAAACUUGGAGGGAACUAAUAUCUGAAUUGAAGAAAGUAAGGAAAGGCUCAUCAGUGCAUAUUUGUCCUUUUGGCUUACGAACACGCUGAAUCCAUACUAACCCAUUUUCCAAACAAAUGCACAAAUCUUAAAGAUCAUAUGACAGAUGUUAUUGGCAGGUGAUGAUGAUCAAGUUUGAACACAAAUAAAAGCUUAUAUCAGGGGAGAAUCCAUUUUCUUUUACAACUUGUUUUGAAUAAGAUUUUGUACUCCCGCAUUCAAUAUAAAUUUAACCACAUUAUUGCAGAAACAUGGCUCUAAUAAUAGAAGUCCAGGCCAUAGAAGCCAGAAGACAUGAUAUUUCUACGGCUCUCAAGUCAAAUACUCCCUUACAAUGAUCUGGAAAAUAUAGAAACAAGAACAAACCUCAUUGAAAAUGGAAACUAUCAAGUGUUGGAUUAAAUAACAGAUUGGACUUACCUUUGCGUUGUUUCUUCCGAGUGGCCAGGUGCAGCACGGUAUUGCCUUGCUCAUCUUUCAUAUUGAAGAUUUCUUCCCUCUUCAUCCCUCUAAUCCAAUUCACCAAAACUGUAAUUGCUUCAAACUGGUUGUUCUUAAUAGCAAGGUGCAAGGCAGUAUCAUGCUGAAUGGUCACAUCUUCUAUACAUUCUGGACAAGCUGAGAGCAUUUCACUUAGUACAUGUACUUUCCCUUUGAUAGCAGCACAGUGCAGUGGUGUAUUUUUCUCUGGUCCUUGCAGGUGACAAAGUUUCUGCUCAACUUUUAGCAACUCCCUUACAACCCCUGUGUGCCCUAUUGAUGAUGCUAUGUGCAUAGGGCUGAAACCAUCCUGGUUGACUUCGUGAGCCAAAUCUGGUCUCAGGUUUAUGAUUUCCUUUACAAAAUCAACGUGCCCGUAUGCCGAAGCAACAUGUAGGGGAUUUCCUGCUGAAGCGAGUGCAGAGGCAUGAAGUAUUAAGGGAUUUUCUUCCAGAAGUUGUUGCAAUUUUUGAACAUAUCCAGUUUGGGCUGCCUCAAAGAGCCUUUUUUCCAUUGAAACAGACUGGCCUUCACAUUUGGGCAAAACGUGGAAUAUGAAAGGAGAUAUUUUCUUAAAGCCUAUAAUUUGACCAAGAAUAUGAAAGCCUUUAUUGCAGUUUCCUUUUUCAUACCUUUUCUUAAAGCCUUUAAUUGGACCACGAAUAUGAAGGCCUUCACUGCUGUUUCCUUUUUCAUACCUUCUUUUCUUCUGAUGACCAAGUAUUACAUAAAAUAAGGAUAACUAAAUGGAACUCUUAGAAUUAUUCAUAAUAGAAAAUGAAAAUUUUUCUUCAUCAUUAAAGUAAACAAACCUGUUACAUUAUCUUACCUGUUAAUCUAGUCUGUUAUAGUUGACUUUUAUGGAGUGACACGAGGAUUAGUGUACAUAUGUAUAUUGCAGAGAUUGGUUGCUUCAAGAAUUAUGAUUGUUAGUCAACCCAUUUGAAAAUUUAUGAUAUGGUGCGGCUUUCCUACUGUUGUUCAAUAAUUUUCUGUAAUAUAUUGCAAGCCAUGUAACUCCCUUAAGAUAGAAAGUUACUUCCUGUUACAAGUUUUUUGGCUGAAUAUUGGGUAACUUGGCAAUAAGAGUCAACUAGAAAGAAAUGCUUCCAACCAAGUAAAAUAUUAGGCUAUACAUGAAUUAUUAUUAUAAAUUAUCUGCUACAUGUACAUCAGAAAUGUCUCCAUAAUAUCUGGAGUGGAGGCAGGUCGUAAAAAAGGGAAACAGAUAAAUGAAUAUGAAAUAUUGUUGCUUCACUUCUGCAUGUCUCUACUAGUCUAUAGCAUAGACGAAAAAGUAUACUGAAAUUUUUGUUCUCUUUCUUUCAACGACUCUAUGGCUCCAUGGUGUGUUCUGUAUGCCUCUUUCUAUGUUGUCUUAACAAAUAAGCUGCAAGUGCAAUAACUGCAGGCAUAAUUGCAACAGUUAGAGUGACAAAAAGCGACAUGCCAUCAGGUGCAAUAGUUAUUACCGCAUUGGUGUAUGUCACAUACAUUGCGAAAAAACACAGCUCAAGCUGCAGGGGGAAAUUGGUAGUUAGAAUUCUAAUCAUUUCAAUAGACAGAGAAAAACCUACGGAGUUGAAAAAUAUGAAAAUGCCAAAUCCAACUGGGUCUGUAGAACCCAAAAUAGACUGCCCCGCACUGUAUGCUUUGCCGCUGGUGGUGCCAUUCUUUCUGUCAGGUUUAUAAUAUUCUUGCCAUACACCACCUGGAGGGUUGACACCAAAUUGGAAGGUUGUAGUUGCCACCAAAACAGCGACAACCAGUAAUGCACUACGCGUCUCACCAGGAGAAUCUCUACCAUUUUUGAACUUGAAGUACUCCAUCAAAUCAUUUGGUUGCCGCAGAUUUGCCUCAGUCGAUAUACAAUUGUCAACUGAGGUUUGACCGUAAGGUUCAGGGGAACGAAUGGGAGAGAGGGUAAGAUCUCUCAUUCUCAUAGCUCCGGCACUCCAAAAGAUCUCCUCAAUUUCUCUAUCUCCUGCUUCACUUGGGAAACUCAGCAGCACGUCAAGAGCAGUGAGACCGCUAUGGUUUGUGGCAUUUACUUCCAAACCCCCUGAGGCAUUUGCUCCAUGGCUAAGUAACAGUUCUACUACCUGUAAGGAUUUAUUGUUUAACCUUUUCUGAAAAGUCACUUGGUAAAUUCUUAAAUGCUUGACAUUUAUGUUAUUUCCAAGCAGAUUUUCCAUUCUUGCAGAAUGAUAUAUAUCUAAGAUUGAAGAAGGAAAGCAAGGGUUGUAGAACUUCAGAUUUACUAUUUGGGUCCAGGAGCUAAGCCAGGAACCACUGAGGUUUCCCAUUGGCUUUCUAGUUCUGAAUGCAUCAAGUCCAUACCAAUGCAAUUUUAAAAGCAGAGCAAAAACUAAUUUCUGGACAUGAACUAGCCAGGUUCAACUGCACUAAAUAAAUAGUUUCUUGCAGUCAAUGUUUUUACUUGAAGUGAAUUAAGGGACAUCUUCGCAUAGGAGCUUUUUUGGAAUGAACAAAAAAGGUCAUAUUAGGAGAGGAUCCAUCACUGUGAACUUAGAUUAUGUAUUCCAAUGCAUCAUCGUCAAGAAUUAAUCACAUAUUGUGUAAGUAUGGUUCUCAACAGAUGUCUAAACCUAAGCAAUGCAGAGAAAUCUUUUGACAGUUGGAAGUCUAAAAUCAAAUGCUCCCUUAAGAUGAUCAGAAGGAACUAGUAGUAAACACAGAUCCUAGAAUAGGUCUUAUCAAAGACUGCAUGAAAAUUAGAUUUAACUUGCCUGGCAUUCUCUCUUCCAGGUUGCUAGAUGAAGCGCUGUAUUGCCCUGCUUAUCCUUCAUAUUCAAGAUAUUUUCUUUCUUCACAUCUCUUAUCCAAUCCACCAAAGCUCUCACUACUUCAAACUGGUUGUUCUUAACAGCAAGGUGCAAAACAGUCUCUCUUUGAACACUCACAUCUUCAGCACAUUCUCCAUAAGCAGAGAGCAUUUCACUUACUACAUCAACUCUCCCUUUGAUAGCUGCAAAAUGAAGGGGAGUCUUUCUUUCUGGUCCCUGAAGGUGACAAAGUUUCUGGUCAAAUUUCAUGAGCCCCCUUACAACGUCUAUUUGUCCAUUGGCUGAUGCCAUGUGCAUAGGACUAAAACCAUCUUGAUUCACUUCCUUGGCAAAAUCUGGUUUCAGCCUUAUGAUCUCCUUUACAAAAUCAAUGUGCCCGUAUGCAGAAGCAACAUGUAGGGGAUUGCCUGCAGAAGCAAAUGCAGGGGUAUGUAGUAUUAAGGGAUUUUCUACAAAAAGUUGUUGCAAAUUUUGAACAUCUCCUGUUAGAGCUGCCGCAAUGAGCCUUCUGUCCAUUCUGGUGGAGUAUGCUGAGUUUCUUCACCUAGAAUGUAAGCCAGACACGAGUUCUCCCAAGGGGAAAUUGUGGAUUAUGAAAGAAGUUCAAAGAUUGAUUUUAAGCCUUUAAGACAAUUUUGCGUGUGAUCAAGAACGGUUUAAUGUUGUUUCAUAAUUCUAUUGGUCAAUCUCGUUUCAUUUUCUUUUCCUCUCAAAAAAUUUAAGUAGCAUAUCCGUUUAUGCAAGAAGCAAGAUUUCAACAUAUGUCAAUAUCUAAUUAGUAGCUGUACUUAAACAAUUACUUCUGAAGUGCGAAGACAAAUAAAUAAUGCAUAGAAUAAGAAAGACUAAAUGAAACUGUUAGAAUUCUUCAUAAAAAUAGUUAAACAAACCAUUUACAACAUCGGAGAGUUGACCUCUCAUUAAUCUGUCUUUUAAUGUUGAAUUCUUAACAAUCUGACAUCAGAAACACUAGAAAUCUAUUGGACAGACUGCUUGCUUCAAAAACUAAGAUUACUAGUCAUCCCUUUUAUGAUAUGACAGAGGAAAUAUAACACAUGAUUAAGACACGCACGUCAUUUUCUUUUAAGGAAAAAAAGAAAAAGAAAAGAACAAGAAGAAGAAACUCCGCAAUUGUCGGUAGAAAUCUACAUUAUCCGCUAUAUGAGAAAUGAGGACAAAAUCAUUUGUGACCCAAAUCAUGACUAAAAGUCCAUUCAAUGUCCGUGUCCGUUUCCAUGAAACAGACAUUCGACUUCACCUCAAUUAUCCUUGACAUUUGACAGAAAUAUUGCUGAUAAGAUAUAAAGAAUUCAUGCAAUAUCAAUCUAAAGCAAUACAAAGGGCUUUUAUUAUUUACAGAAGGCAAACCCCUUCAAAAUCUUCUAGCUAUCAUUGCUUCAGUUCAUCCUAUCAACUUAAUUUUCAUGGAAGCUACUCCAGUUGGUAAUGGAAGUGAUCAUUUGAUACAAUUACCUACACUAGGUGAGAAUCAAAUCUUCCUUGAUUCAUAUCAAUUGCAAAAAAUAAAAAAGCAGCAAAAAUGAUAAUUCCCUGGCGUUGGAUUUUACCAAGUUUAACAGACUCAGCUGCUCCUGACAAAGUGCAUUUAAAAUUGAUUAGACAAAGAAUGACUGGGAUUUAUUUCUGGUGGUAGGAUAAAAAGCCACCAGAAAGUACUUAAAGCCCAGAUAUUGAUUCAAGAUUUAAUUUCUCUGAAGAAGAAGAUUCGGCUUGUUUGCUUUCCUCCAGUUUGGGCUUAUUCAUGGCAUCAAGAGUUUGCAAGUAUGUGUAAGAUGCACUCCGACUAGUUGGCGGAUUAGGAUUGCUUAUUCUGCUAGCAAGGAAGCGACGAAUCAGGCCCCUGAGGAAUGGGGCCAUGGUAUCCGGCUCAUAUUCUAAAUAGUACAUAAUUCCUCCCAUGCAUGCACAAAAUAAUGCCACCUGAAAGGUUUGGAAUAAUAAGUUUAAAAUACAUAAAAAAAUAUAACCUAUUCAACAAACAGAAAAAUUUAGGUCAUUCUGUGUCAAAACCAUUUGCCUUUCCGUGAGAUACAUGCUCACGUUGGGCCAAAAUAUAUGAGUUAAUCACAUGAGUGCACACAGAAGCACAUCCUCAUACACAGGACAGUCAAUUGCCUCCAUUUAACACUCCUUUUUUCUAAACAAAGUUUGUCGGCAAGAAAAAUGCAUAGAAAAACACAUGGGCACUUAUGUGUUUGCAUUAAAUAACCUUUUGAAAUAUGGGUUCAUCCUAGGAUCAGGAAUGAUCAAAAAGCAUUACUCAGCAAUAUCAGAAAUGGAUUAGGCAGCCUUCAGUAAUAAAAUAUGGGAUGCAAGCUUCUUAAGUCAAUACGAAAAGUUUUCAAAGGAUUGUUAUGAAUGAGCAUACCUCAGCAUUCUUUACAUCAGGAAGCAGGUGGCGGUUUACUAAAAUAUACCACAAUGAAUCUCCUGCCCGUGGAAGAACAUAUAAAGCAAGUUCACCACGUCUAGCCUUUUUCUCCAGCAAUACAGAAAGCGCAGAAAAUGCGCCUGCAACCCAGAAUACCAGCUUGUGGUCUUUCGAAGCAAUUUUUCUGUGCACACAUAUGACUCCCUUGCAUAAUCCAAAAGCAUAUUAACAAUUAAUUCACACAGCUUUUAACUGAAAAAGACAAAAAGAAAAAAGAAGUGAGAGAUACAGAGAGAAAAUAGCUACCUGAAAAAUUCCAACAAAUGCAGACAAGAAUGAUGUUGAGCGAACAGCGCCUUUAAGUGCAAGCCAGCAGGUACGAGCAGGAGAAUCCAUGAACUGAAAAUGGAUCAUGAUAUUAAAAAAAAAAAAAAAAAGGAAGGAAAACAUAAGUCCCACAUUGAAAUGUGGCUGUCAACCACUAUACAAACCAAAUUGUAGUACAAAAAUAAAGAAAAAAAAAAAUUUAAUUAUAAGGAAAUUUCCUCUCUGUGAUGGGAAAGGGUGCAAUUGUCAACUGUAGCAUUACUUGGGGGGGGGGNNNNNNNNNNNNNNNNNNNNNNNNNNNNNNNNNNNNNNNNNNNNNNNNNNNNNNNNNNNNNNNNNNNNNNNNNNNNNNNNNNNNNNNNNNNNNNNNNNNNNNNNNNNNNNNNNNNNNNNNNNNNNNNNNNNNNNNNNNNNNNNNNNNNNNNNNNNNNNNNNNNNNNNNNNNNNNNNNNNNNNNNNNNNNNNNNNNNNNNNNNNNNNNNNNNNNNNNNNNNNNNNNNNNNNNNNNNNNNNNNNNNNNNNNNNNNNNNNNNNNNNNNNNNNNNNNNNNNNNNNNNNNNNNNNNNNNNNNNNNNNNNNNNNNNNNNNNNNNNNNNNNNNNNNNNNNNNNNNNNNNNNNNNNNNNNNNNNNNNNNNNNNNNNNNNNNNNNNNNNNNNNNNNNNNNNNNNNNNNNNNNNNNNNNNNNNNNNNNNNNNNNNNNGGGGGGGGGGGGGGGAGAGAAGUUUAAAUAUGUUGUUGUUCACCAAUCAAAAACUAGCUUUUAUAAAAAAUAAAUGAGGAAGAAAUGCAUAUCAUAACAUUUGGUUUGUGAGAAAUGUACAGGAAAAGUGGAAGGCGACAAAAUCCUCCAGGCCUCAGAGAAAAAGUGAGGUAAAUUCAAAAAGCAUUAGAUGAAAAACCAGAAUGAAGUGAUUAUAAUCAUUUCUCAGAUACGCCUUUUAACAUUAGGCAUCUUCCACACAGCAGAAGCAGUAUCUAUCAUAUAUAUUCAACACAUGAGUCAUGGGUUUUUGGAAGAGUCACAUAGGUGGCAAGAAGGGAUGAUUUGUUGACAGCAGAAGAGAUAGAGGUUUGCAGUAAAAACAAACUUCAAGGUCAAUCAUCACAGCAAGGGAACCAGUAAUAGGAAAAGGCAAAAUUUCUGUUUUCAAUAGCUUUAUUUGAGAAUGCUUCAAUUAACUUGCUGGGUGGAUCCACCAGACAGAUUCCAUUAGAAUGAUAGAUAAACAGAAUGUGGCAAUUGACAUGCUCAUUAUUACCACAAACACAGAAUAUGACAUAAAAUUCUUAAAUAAGAUUCAAUCAUUCAUUUCCAUAAAAGCUAAAGCGCCAGUUUCUUAUAGCAGGUUCAAGAUUCUAUGCCCAUGAAACCAGCCUUGCAUCCAAAUUGUUCACAGAAGUAGAUGCAUAAGAGAUAAGAGUUGAGUGUGAACCAAUUUGAGUGAAAGUUGUACCUUCUGUAGGUGCAGAACAACAAAUGGUACAAAUGUCAAGGAAAAGUAUAGCGGAAAUGUUUUUCUGAAUGUAGCUGAUGCCGCUUUAGCAUUGUGACCCAGACAUGAAUCAGUGUCUGGAUGAAUAAUUGAACAAGGAAUUAUGGAGGGAAACUCUUCCAACUUCACAUCGUUUAACUUCCCUCUGCUUGAUAAAUAGGCUGAUAUAUAGGCAACAUCUACCGGACCACCUCGACAGCAAUCUCUCACAGCUUUGUAAACAGGUUUGGCUACUGGGCCAGUCUUCUGAAUGAAGUCCUGAUAUGAUUUUGGCAAGCUCUCAGGACGCAUUACAAAGGAAUACAUAACCUGAAAUGAGUUUCUCAAUCGAUGAAAUUACCCCCAAAAAAAAAUAUCAACAUACAAGGCAAAAACCUAAAUGUUGCAAGAUAAAUGCAAAGUUCCAAUAUCUUCUUCUUCUUUUAAAGUAAAAGUUAUAAUUACUUAUUAAUACCAUAAACUAGAAUACAUAUCUACUACCAUGAGGUGGCAUUUGCAAUAACAUACAUUGUCUAAAGGAAAAUAUUACUUGGAUUGUUUUAGUACACAGUAUAGUAACAGGUAGAGAAAGUAAAUUAAACAAAAGUUUUUCACCACUUUGCUUCAUCAGUCUCAAAAACUUUCCAAGCAUAAACAGAUAAAAGGAAAAAACAAAAAGGGUUAUUUGACAACUUGGUAUAGCAUGAUAUUACCUGGGCACAAGCUAGAGAAAAGAGCAAAGAAUCUCCAUGCCUCCAAUAGCUACCCCACAAGUGAAACUUGUUCUUCGACUUAGCAGAAUUAUAUGCACACUAAUAACAACAAUUUAAAAAAAAAAAUUAAUUUCCAAAAGCUCUGACGGUGGGGUGAUAUAAAAAUUGAUCAAUGUACCUGAGCUACUCUAGCCAAAAGAUAAAGAGCAAGCGUGCGUCUCCUAUUAGAAUCAUCCAAAGCUAAAACAGACAAACCAGCAAUUGAACCUGCUAAAUAUCUGCUCCAAUCAUAUAUCACCUUAAGCAAAAUUAGAAAAAAAAAUACAAAAUCAAAGCAAACGGGUGUGAGAACUUACGCAUUGAAUGGAGUCUCUUUCUUUCUGAAUUUUCUUAACAUACAUCUAAGCAAAUGAUAGGAUCCAGUAAACCCACCAAAAAGUAAACCAAUUCUACACGCUUCUUCUCUUACAAUCAAAUCUUUCUCAGAUACAAGUUGCUGCAAUAGAAAAAAAAGAAAAAAGAAAAAAUCAAUUUUUCACACAACUUUUGACAAAAUUGAGAAAAUAAAAAGUACCAAAGAAAGAAAAAAAGGGGGUUACUUUAAGAUCGAGGAGCGAAGAAUAAGACUGCCCACGCGCGAGCUUGAAGGCGCGCAGGAGAAUUCCAAUCCCAACUCUCACUCCAUAAGAAAGAAGAAAGCUUUGGCAGAGGUUACCAAUUGCGUUCGCCACACAAGACUCGUCACCGGCGUGGUCGCAGGGCGGCAGGGAGGAGCCGUCGCCGCUGCCGCCGCGAGUGCGUUGGCGGCGUUGGAGCUCCUCUAUGGCUUCGCGGAGGCGCUCCUCCGCCUCGCGGAGGCGGCGUUCGGCCUCGGCGUCGGGAGUUUUGUAGAUUGGUUGUGGCGCCAUUUGGUGGUUGGAUGAUGAGGGAAGAGCUUUGGCGUCCGCGGGGAGCAGACGAUACCAAAAUGAAGGUGAAUGAAACGCAAUAAAUGGCAACUCCUGUUUUGUUUUAUUAUUUUUCUGUUUUUUUUUUUUUUUUUUUUUUUUUUUUUUUUUUUUUUUUUUUUUGCUUUUUGGGACGCUCGAGGAUAGAGUUUGGUUCAGAUUAAAUUUUUUUUUUUUUAUUUCUUUCAUAUUAAAGAUUCAGAUAUAAAGAAAUUCUUCCGAGCUUACGUGUCAAUAAAUAAAUAAUUUUUCUAAAUAAGAUAAAUAUUUUCUCGCAAAGUGUUGAUAAUAUUUUUUGUAAACAUUUUUGGAGAAAUUGAGAAUCCAUGGACCAAUGAUAUAAAAUCCAUGACGGACGACGAAUAUCAUUAUCGAAUCCAUGGAUUGAAAUUUAUAAAAUUUAUUUAUCCGAUAUGAAUUAGACUGAUUGCAUAAAAAAUAUAUUAAAUCAUCAUAAAUAUUAUUAUCUUUCAACUAAUCUAUUUUAAUCACAUUUUUUAUAUGAUUGCUGUAUAAUAAAAUAAAUUAUAAAUAAUAUAAAUUUUUGCAUUCAUUCUUCCUUUUUUUUUUUUUUUUUUUUGAACCUCAUGUUUGGUGUAUAAUUUUACUGUUUCAAUCUCUAGAGAUUCUUUGCUUUCACUAUAGUCAUGAGUCGCGUGUGACUUAAUACUUCAUUUUUUUUUUUAAAUGUACACGUUUAUGCUUAGACGUUAAUAAAGCAUAAUCGUGGUCGGGGUGUGGUGCCUGUCAUGAGUCAUGUGUGACUUGUACUUCUUUUUUAAAUGCACACGUCUAUGCUUAGAUGCUAAUAGAGCAUAAUUGUUGUAGAGGUGUUAUAACUAAGUAUUUUAAAUUUUUUAUCUUAAAUUUUAUUCUAAAUGGUAUGUUAUUUAUUGAUUGAUCGAUAAUUUUUUAUAAAAUUUAAGUGAAUUAAUUAUAUUAUUUUUACCAAAUAAUUAAUUAAUACUACGUGAUUUGAGAUAAUUUUUUAGGAUAAAACUUUGGGAUAUGUAGCUCUACUCAUCUAUAAAAUUAGAGAAAAAAAAAUUGUUCCUUUCAAUUGAAGAAUAAGCAAUGGGUAAUUGUCUUAUGUUUCAAUUCGUCUUAUAACAUAAGAAUAGAUUUCAUCAACUUAUUUUAAAUUCAUUUGUCUGAUUUCAAAAUCCAUCGGGGUAUAAGCACAAUUUAAAAAAAAAAAUUAUUUGUUAUUUAGCUGAUGGCCAAAAGAAAAGAAGGGAGUGAGAGAGCAAUUUCGUGUGUGUGUGUGUGUGUGUUAAAUAUUGAAUCAUUUUUCAUAUGAUUCUUGAGUCAUAAUUUAAAUAGGUAUAAGAAUAAGAUGUUGAUGUGACUACAAAGUUGUCAUAAUUAAUGGCGGGAAAACUUCCCAUUAGAUUUCUAAUUGCAUUUAUUAUCUAAACUUGCUUUUUGGUUAGUGAGUAGGGUUGACAAAAAUGAUCGGAUCGGCUCAAAUUGGGUUGUCCCGGCCUACAUGAAUUUGUUCUGUAUUGGUCCCACUCCGUUGGAAAAUGCAAAUCCUGAGCUUUGCACAAUUGUGACUUAACAAGCAAGUGAACAAUACAACUAAAUUUUCUUUCCAGGGCCGCUUGGCUUUUGGUCUUGCCAAGAGGCUUCCCAUUGCUUGUCAUACAAAGCUGCUUCGUCAGCAAGAUUUUUCAGGUUCUGGAAACCUUCCUUUUUCCUGAAGAGUAUGAUACCAUUACCGGCAACCGUGACAAACACUCCGGCCUUGCAAAUGAAAUUCCCAGUUUGGCCAACCACAUCUAGCCCUGUCAACGCAUCUACAAUGUAUCCCAUGAAGAAUCCCACCAUCGCAGCUCGACCUAAAAUAUAUUACGAGUGAUUUCUCUAACAUGAUACCAAAACAGAUUCGAUCCUAUCAGCGAAUUUCAUCUUACAGCCUCAAUGACCAAAAGACGUUAUAGGGUUUUUAUGACUGAUAGCGUAUAAAUUAGAUUAGUUUAGCUAAGGUUAUUCAUAUUGCUUGUCUAGUCAGUUUAGUUAGUAUUACUUAUAAUUGUCAAAUUUCGUUAGACUAAAAUAAACCAUUUUACUGAUUAUAUUAUUUAGUACUGACCAUUGAGCAGCUCGGCCUGAGGGAGAUAAGAAUGCAAGAGCCAUGCCCACCAAGGUAUAAUGGAGCUCCUAAACACCACAGGUUCUUUCAUUUGUAGCUGAAUCUGGAUACAUUUCAAGGAACUUUCUCCUUCUUGCUUCUACAAACAAAUUUAUAACAAACAAAUUAUCCAUUCUUAAUUUGAUACAUAUAAUUGAAAGACUAUGAUACUGUAAAAAUAAUUUUAGAUAGUAACAUCUUAGAUGAAAAGGCUGUCUCACCUGCAACAAUCACAGCAUCCCAAUCCAUCUUGCCGUCUUUAACAAACAUGUUCAAGUCCCAUGUUCCAUUUUUCCAGCGAGCAUCGUUGAACUUCGGAUGAGAAGAUUGUGUGUCCAAAUUAUCAUUUUCAGCAACAUUUGGCUUACUUGUACGUGAAGAAGACUUGGAAGAUUUGUCUUGUUGUUCAACUAUAUCCAAACUUUUUUGGCCAUCAACAUUUAGAGCGACAACAUUUGACACCUGUUUUGUCCCCAAUGAGCGACCGGUUCUGGUUUGAGACGGUUGUUUUUUAGUGACAUGGUUUGAGCUGCAGGCUCUUUGCGAGGAAGCCGAAAUGGCAAAGGAAGCCGUUGUUGUUUCGAGAGAGUUCUUUUCUUUUGCUUUCUAGUUUACUCUCGUUAAUUAUGAAAGAAGAAUGAGGAGCAUAGGCAUGAGGAGAGCCCAUACUCAAUAAAUAAAUAAGAUUAUCUUCCCGCCUCUGUUUUGUCAGAAAAGUUAUGGGAAGCUUUCUUUUAAGUUUUAACCAUAUCUGCUUUCUUGAAUUCUUUUUGCAAGAAUUACCAUGGUAAAAUAUGUUCAUUUCAUUUCAUUGGUCCCAUAUCAUCUUGCAUGAAAGCAAAAGAACUGAAAAAAGAAAAAAAAAAUUCAAGGCAUUACUUGAUUACAAUAAGUGCCAAUUCUUUGGAAACAGAUAAACAAGUUGAUGUUGCUUCAAAAAUGGUUCAUAUCAGAUAACAAUAUAAACUCAUAUUUCAGGAUAAUGCAAACACAUUGAAUUGCAAGUGGUUAGGACUCAGCAUUGGCAUCACGUUAUAAAAAGACUCCUUUCCAAACUGAACCCAACCAGAAAAGAAAUAGUAAACGGCUGAAACAUAUUGUUUGUAAAAGCUCAGAUUUCAUAUAAAUUAUAAUCCUCCCAAUGAAUACAUUGAAUUUGUAUGAAGUUCAAAAUUGCAGGAAAGGGAAACAAAUAAAACUUUGGUGGGAGGUAAGAAUGGCUUGUAAGCUGCCUUCUUGUGGUUUGGCAAACUAGAUAUGAAAAGAUUGAUGGAGGAAGGGUACAAGGCUGUUUAUGCCUCCCAGCCUCUCAAAGUGGUAGCACGAGCAACUCGGUUCACCCCAAGUGUGAAGGCACCCAUCCGCAGAUUGCAAUUGUGUGUCUGACACAUGCCCUUGAUGUUAUGAAAAGCUCUAAUCAUGUACCUCCGAAGCUCAUUGUUCACCUUAUCCUCUUCCCACAUAAAACCUUGAAUAUUCUGCAAGAAUGAAUAAAAUUGUGAUGUAUUAGCCUUCUCCAUAAAAGAAUAUCAAGAUAAACUAUAUGACCAGCAUUUAAGGUGGGACCAAAUCAUUGGCAUCUUUUAUGGCAAAGGACAAGUUCAAAAAGACAGAGCGAUGCUUGGCAAUCAGAGACGAAGAUAGUAUUCAACUGCUAUGGAAUCAAAAAAAAUUACUGUCAUUAAUUUUUUUACCUGAACCCACUCGAAAUAGCUAACAGUCACACCUCCAGAAUUUGCAUAUAUGUCAGGGAGGAUUGUGACUCCUCUCUUAGAGAGUAUCUGUAAUAUCAAAAUCUCGUUAAUUAGGGAUAUAACCUUCUUCAUACAAAACAGGAAGAAAUCAAUUCACACCCUUACCUCAUCUGCUUCUGGAUCAGUAGGAUGGUUAGCUGCUUCUAUUAUGAAUUUGGCCUUCACAUCUGCAGCAUUUUCCCUUCAAAGGACAAAUGAAGAAACUUAGGAAAUUCUGUUGGAAAAAAUUAUAUAAAAAGAGCCAAUGCUACUUUCUUUCUCUAAUUAAUUUUUAUUUUUCCCAACAACAAAUCAUGCAAACUCAAAUCAUGUGUAACCAGCAUUAUCGCUAAACUAACUAAACAGUGAAGUAGAAAUAAACUUCAACCAUGCAACUUUUCUUGAUAGGAGCAUAUAAGGUGAGGUACUUAAAAAAUCCAGAUUCAACUCUUUGCCAAAGUUAAGUUCCACUUUCUACAAAGAUUUGUGGAUAGGGAAACUUUAUCAACCUAGAGACAACAUAUAUGUUCGUAACAAGUUUCUAAGUGAAGGGCCAUACCUCUUAAGAACUCCACCUAAAGCACAGGGGAUGAGAACAUCACACUCAUGCGCCAGAAGCUCGCUAGGCUCCAUGGAGUCUCCUCCAUCAAAAUCUUUCAAACUUCCAGUUUUGUCUUUAUGGGCUAACAAUUUGUGGAUAUCAAUUCCAUCUGCGUUCUUAACUGCUCCAGUUAUGUCACUUACUGCAAUAACUUUACCACCUCUCUCAUGAAUAAGCCUUGCAGCCCAUGAUCCCACAUUUCCAAAGCCCUAGAAAGUUCAUCAAUAAGAUUUAAAACAAUGAAACUAACGAAUCCUGGACAACAGACUGACAAAAGACAUGAAUAUUAACUCUACCUGGAUUACAAAUGUCAAAUCCCUAAUUGCCUGUCCAUGUUCAGCAAGUAGAGCUUCUGUAGCAUAAACGACACCACGCCCAGUUGCAGCCUCUCUACCUAGUGAUCCGCCAAGAUCCUAAACUCCAAAACAGAAACAUGAGAUAACGCAGGAGACAGAUUUCAUUUUAGUCAAAUUGUAGAUAUUUAUAUCAAAUCAACAACAUCAGAGAUUCUGAAGUGUGUACUUACAAUGGGCUUUCCUGUGACGACAGCAGGAGAGUGACCAUGAAAUUUUGAGUACUCAUCCAAAAUCCAUGCCAUAGUCUGUACAUGAAUAAAAGAAUAGCUAUGUUAAUUACAUGAGGAAAUGAUAAAAACAUAAAGAAAUGAAUCAUUGAAGAUUAUAAGACCUGGGCAUUUGUUCCCAUGUCCGGGGCUGGUAUGUCAGUAUGGAUUCCAAUGAGGUCAUGUAUCUUCUGAGUGAAAACGCGAGUUAGACGUUCCAGCUCACUGUUGCUUAAUUCUUUUGGGCUGCAUCCAAUUCCACCCUUUGCUCCACCAUAUGGUAUAUCUGCCACAGCAGUCUUCCAGGUCAUUAGUUGAGCCAGAGCAUUUACUUCAUCAGGAUCAACCUUUCAAAACAAAAUAACAUUGCAAUGUCAAAUGUAGAGCAACCAGUCAUAUACAAUUAUGUUUCCAGACACAUAAAAGAUUGCAAAAAAAAAAAUGUUUCAAAUAAAAUGCUAUAGCUUUGUUUGUAAUGACAAAAAUAUUUAAAAUGCAAAAGUUGAAGCAGAUUCACAAAACAUCAGAUGGUUAAAUUCCUGAAGGAUGGUGAAAUUAACUGCUAUAAUGAUAGAACUCAAGGGGCAUUUGGAAGAAAAUUUGGGAGGUAAAAUUCUUUCUCAGACAAUUUUAACAAAAAUUUUAAUACAUGCUUAUGAUUCAACUUUAUGAUCACAGAACAAACCUUCUUUCAGGGACGCUAAAUUGUCCAACUUUAAUAAGAAUAUGCAGAGUUUGAAAGAGAAGCACUACUAUUCAUAGCUGAAUACAGAGGAGCACUAGAUUUAUCACUAAAGGUACCCUCUAAUUAUAAACCAGUCCUGCCUCAAAGUUCAUUGCCUAUGUAACACACUGCUAUAUAUGUUACAUUAUCGAAAUCAAAUCCAGAUUUAACACUGGCCGGACUCUUCUCAUAACAAUCCUUUACAUAAAAUUAUGACAACAUAGAAUGUGUAAAGCUGUUCCAUUUAAUUAACUGAUAUAAUUUAUAGAUUCAAAAUUAAGCACAUUUAACAUUGUGCAUUAACCAGCUAUUCACCAAUGGGAUGUUUCCUAUUAGAGAUACUGAAACAACCUGAAAUUGUUUUGAAACUACAAAAACCAAUCUUUGAAAGCCAUUAUUAACGAAACAGUAUUGUUCAAGUACACAUCCAAACAAGCCCAUCACUGCAUGAAUUAUGAUUUAAUUAAAAAAAGAAAUCCCGACUAAAAUCUAAAGUUUAAAAAGAGAGAGAGAGAGAGAGAGCAAAAGUAAAAAACCAAACAAAUUAGUAAAAUAUCUUUAUGUAAACAGAAACAAACAAAAUAGAAACAGACACAAAAGCCACCAACCAAAAAAGCAAAGCAAAGCAAAGCAAGAAAGCCACGCACCUCAGGAUGAUAUCUGAUGCCUCCCUUCAUGGGCCCACGUGCGUUAUCAUGCUGUACUCUAAAUCCAACGUACGAAACCAGACUUCCAUCAUCUUUGGGGAUAGUGCACUCCACCUGAUCAUUAACAAAACAACACACGAACAUGAACCAUGAUCACAACCACAACAAGGACCAAAACAAAAAUUGACCCAUUAGCUGAAAAAGGACCGGUACGCACUUUGAUCUCUCUAAAAGGGAUCAGAAGACUCCUCUCAAGCUUAGAGUCAAGCCCAAGAAUGCGUGCAGCGUUGCGAAAGUUACGGCUCGUUGCUGCAAGAGCGUUCAUGACGAUGAUUCUGAAACUUUCGAAACAAGUUAAAAGAGAGCUAAAACCACUGAUGGGGCUUUUGAACAAGAAUAUAUGAAUGAAUGAAUGAAUGAAUUAGCUUUUGUGAAUGCGAAUGUGAAUGAAUGAAAGCUGAUGUCCGGAGAAUUGGGGGUAUUAUAUAGGGGAGCUGCCAUGUGAUUUUCCUUCUGUGAGACGGGAGGAAUGCACCGGUUUUGGAAAUUAAUUAUUAGGUAGGAUUUUUUGAAUUUGUCUUCCCUAGUCUGGGUACACUUUUCGAGUUUUACAAUUACAUUUUUAUCCUUCAGUCAUUCAAUGCAUUAAUUAUCUUACCCUCCGUCAUUAAUUAGUCUUCAUGAUUUUCAUGAUAUUUUAUUUUAAUUUUCAAAAAAAAAUUUUAAGCAGCCCAGCUCAAAUAUUCAAAGAAUUUAAAUAAAAUAUCCUCUUUAUUAAGCGAAAGAUUUGGAAUUUAAAAAUUAAAUAUUUUAUAUAAAAAUUAAUAUAUAGAUUUUUUUAAUUACAUCAUAAUCUACUCAUAUAUAUGAUUAAAAAUCUAUCAAAAUCUCAUGGAUGAACUAUCUGAUAAAAAUUUGUGGAUAAUAAGCCAAAUUACCGUUUAGUCCUCUAAGCUUGAUUCAAAUCUCAAUUUAAGUAUUUAAUCUUUUCCAAUUCAAAUUUGAUGGUAAUUACUAAUUUCUAUUACGGAAGGGUAUUUUGGUAAAAAUAUCGUAGGGGGUAAGGGCAGAAUAACAGUCGCCAGUGCACGUGCAUCAAUUUUGGCUGGGUGGUAACCAAGAGCAGGAAUCAUGGAGACUUUGCUGCAUUAAAAUUUAUCGUCCACGAUAUUGGUACAAUCCGGACCGUCCCUUCCUAUUAAGAUUAGUCCAGAAAGCCAUCUAAGCCGUUGACUUGUCAUAGUCUGACUCACAUAUGACACACUGUUGAUCCAAAUCCAUAACAUUUUGGUUGCUGACAACUCAUCAGUUGUUUCGCUUUGUAAAAGCAUUUAACCGGUGACGUCAAACUUGUCUGGCGUUGGCAAUGACGUGGCGCUCGGACCCAAAUUCACACACGCGACUCGCCGCGUCCAACUGUCCAGCUCGUAAUUGGAAAUUUGUUUUAAUUUAUUAUUGUUAAAUUUUUCUAUAUUAUCUCAUAAUUUGAUAAUUUAAUUCAAGAGUUAUUUAAUUGGUAACUUAUUUAUUUAUUAAAAUACAGAUAAAUUUCCAUGAUUUCAAUUAUCGUCAUGUUCUUAUCUUAAAAUUCUAUUAGAGUUUCUUCCAAAAACAUCCCACUACUUUUAUAAAAAUAUCAAAAAAUGUCUUGUAUAUUUUUUUUAUAAUAAAUCAUAUUCGAGGGAGCUUAAUAUUUAUCCUUAGACUUCUUUCCAUACAGCUUUUUAAAUAGAGUUUAUUUAAAUUAAAUUUUUACUAAUAAAACUUUUGCAAGUAGAGUUUUACCAAAUAUAUUAAAAUUGUUUAGUUAUUAAUGAGAAUUUUUAUUAAAAAUAAUAAAAUUACUUCAAUGGAUAAAUUUUUUAAAGUUAUGUUAUGAAAAUUAUGAAUAUUUUAGAUAAUUUAACUCUUUAAAAAAAAUUCUAAAACCUUUACUUUCAAAAGUCUAAAAUUUAAAUUUUUACUAGUAGAAACCAAACAAUACUAAAAUUUUUGAAAAGAACUUAUAGAAUUAAAUAAAUAUUUUUAACAAAUAGAUCAGCCAUAUUAAACAUGCACUCAAAACAAUUCUAUGAAGAUAGAAACAUAUGAAGUUAAAUGAUGUAAUGUUAACACGAUACAUAACUAAUUUAGUCAGCAUAUAAACUGAUGUGAAAAGAUUGGAAAAAUAUAUGGUAUUUUGAUUCAAAUAGUUUUAGCUAGAGAUUAGGUAGGGCAGCACCGCAGCAGUCCAUUGCCGCGUCACAGCCAUUACAUUAAGUCCUCCUAAUCUUAUCCUUCAAGAUUAUUUAAUUCGGACAGCUGAGAAGAGAUAACGGCGUUACCAAGAUUUGAAAGCAGCGACGUCAAAGCAUAAGAUUCUGAAAUACGAACAUUCCCUUCUCCCCCAGAUACCGCUAUCCCCAGAAACUCACCAUAUAAUUUCGAUAGUCUAAAUCAAUUCGAUUUUGAACUUUGACAGUGGGAGAUAAAUUUGACUAGAAUAGUCAAGUUUACAAUAAAUCAAUACAAGAGGGUGAGAGAGCACAUCACAUUCAAUGUAUGUACUUCUUGAUAACCAUAAAACAAAAUAAAAACUACUGAUGCCCAACAUUGGAAGCGCUGACCAGAAAUUAACGAUUCGCUGACCUUGAGAGAAAUUAAGAAUUUGGGGGUGUUAAAAUGUGAUGAUUACGAGCCUCCCACCGACCAAAAUGAAAUCAGCCCCUUGAUAAAUAGAUGAUAGGCCUGAAGAAUGAUCUCCACUCAUAUGCUCUGAUUCAAUAACCCUUAUAAUCCUUGUAUCAUCAAUAUGCAUUUCUGUUAUCAAUGAACACACAAGGAAAUAAGUAGUUACUAUAGCUACACAAACUCACAAAUUUCCAACUUAUAUCUAGGAACCAGAUUUAAACAGAACCAACUGGAGGUAAAGAUUUUAUGUGAGUUAAACAAUAUUUUGUCUCUUAGGAAUAAUGAAUACGUUGUGGUCAAACUCUCUUGUGAUUUGAAAACCACAUAGUGGCCAGCUUAGAACUUUUUUGCAACCCAACUUGAACCAGGAUUACUCUACUGGAAAAGGGAUUUACACCAGAACCAGAAUCUUUUUCCUUUUCACCCGUGAGUGUGUCCAAUACCAAAACAAUAACACACCCAAGAAGAUUCCAUGUUAUGAACAAAAAUCAGUAUGAGGAAACCAAGGGUCAUUUUAUUGAUUGAGCCACACAAACACACAGUGAAUUUCUUUACAUCAUGAGUGGGGACAUACAGCAAAAUACUAGUUUCUGAAUCCUCACAUAAUGCCUCAAUGAACUAGUUAAAAGGCAUCAAUGUGCUUAAGACUAGGUUACAACCACAUUAUCUAAAUAACCUCCCCAACCUGAUAGCAUUUUCAGAUGCCAUCUUUAGAAAACACAAAGCAUUUGAGAAUCCCAUUCAUCGUCAGAUAGUGAUCACAGCACUACAUUGCAUUUAUUGAAACAUCAAAUAAAUUGGUCGUACAAGAAAUAUUUUAUCAGCAAUGAAGAAAAACAAUGCAAGAUUAAAUAGAGAUAUCAAUUUCACAAAGUAUCCAAAAAGAAAUGAUCACAUAUUCGGUGUAGAAGCUGCAAGAACAAUUUCAAAAUCUAUACAUAUAGAAUAAAUGACUAUUCGGCUAUUCCCUCUUCAAAUCACAUAAACUGAUUGGAAUAAAAAAGAUUACCUCAUAAGUUUAACGCACAGGAAUGUUAUGCCAAUUCAACCAUCUUUCCUGUAAAAAUUAACAACUAAAAUGUAUCAAAAUGUGCAUCAAAAUGUCAAUCUUUCUAAGCAAUAAUAACAGUUCAAUUGACUUAAAUAAAAAAGGUGGGUAUUUUUUAUUACUCGACAAAGAAGAAAGUGGUUUUAUUCUAGAAGACUGUACUGUACAUACUUCCUUUUUCUUCGAUCAAUGCUGCUACUCCUCAUAUCAUUUUUCAUCAGAGCUGAUCCUGGGGGAAUUCCAUACUGCAUAGGAGAAAGGGCUGGCCCUGGAGCAGCUGUCACAGGAGUCAGCACAGGUGGUGCAGGUGGCAGAGGUGGAGCAGCAGCAGGUGGUGGAGCCUCAGAAGGUUCAGGAAGAGGCCUUGGUAAAAUGUGCUUUAGUCGAUUGUUUCUAUAGUUCUUCCAGAAAAAGAAUUGCUGCCUAUGUGCCAACUCCUGAAAAUUUACAGGAUACAAAAAGAGAAUAUGAACACUUUAAAAAUAAACAUUAAAUCAGGUUUUGUCUUAAUAUUAGAUUAUCGGAUCUGAAUUUCUCUAAAAGAAAAUAAAGUGACUUCAUUUUUAUCUCAGCCAGCCAAUCACUUUUUUGAUAGUGAUAUUAUAAGGACAGCAGAGAAUACCACCAAAAAAUAUUGUUGCACUGGGAUAUUAUCGAAGGCGCCACUAGCACACCUUAAGAAGCAUUUUAUAAUUAACUUCCCAGAAAAAAAAGUCCAUGAAAGAUAUAUAUGAUGGUUAAGAUCAAUCUCUUUCCAUGAGAUCACUCUCCAAAAGGUCAACACAGAUGGAUCAUAAUCCACAAAAUGUUAUAAUAUCAUCAUAUACAGUGAUAGCAGGAUGCAGCAGAAAACCCUAAGGUAAAUGCUACACCUGUAAAUACACACACAGAACACCUGACACAAAUAUCAUCUAGCAAAGGAAAGAGAAUAUACGUCGGCUGUGAUAGUUAAAAUCUAUAAACAAAAUCCUUUGUCAAAUAGUAUAUCCGUUGUAUGUGCUCAUGGUCCUAAAUGCCAAUGCAAUGAAAAUUCUAAGAAUAUUUUUCCCAAAAAAAAAAAAAAAAUUGUCAAGGAAAAAAUCUAAACACCAACUGAAGACAUAUUUGACUUCUAUGAGGAUCAUGACUGCUUACAAAAGGUAAUUUAACCAACAAACAAAAUGACUUUAGAAGCACACCCAAAAGGGUCACAGUAAACAACAGAGUCUAACCUUGUUGGCAGGAUGUGCCAUAGCAUUGCGGAAGUUUGCAUUUUGUAGAAGUUCAAGAAAAUAGAGGCAAUGUGGAUACCUGAAAUCAUCCUAGAAGAUAAGCACAAGAAUAGAAAUGUACCGCAGGUUCCAAAAGAAAAAUGAAGAAUUUUUCUAAUCAAAUAUGAAGAUAAUAAGUCUCCUUCUGUCUAUAAACUAAGUCAGAUCUAGAAACACAAGCCUAAAAGUACUUUAUACAUCAUGCUUUCAAGAAAUUAGCUCACAUUAUAAAUUUAAUGUACUCCGGCCGUUGCCAGUACUGAAGAUAUUUCAAGUAACCAAUGAAAGCCUCGUCUUCAAAAUAGCGAUUCUGAGCCAAAUCUGCAAUAGAAAUUUGAGGUCCAAAAUAAGCUUGUAACUGAAUCAAAACCUGAAAUCUAUAGAAAGAGUAAAAAUAGCUAACCAAUAACAUUAGCGAUAAUUUCCUAAAGCUACCGGACAUGUAUGAGCAAGGGUACACGAACAAGUUCGUGAUCAAUGCAUGCACAGAGUACGGUUUAUGGCCAGAAAGACAAGUAAAACAAGAGGUUAAGACACAAAAUGUUAAAUAAUCGAACCCUUCAUCAACCACUCCGGCCAUGAUUACCAACAUAUAUUCGAUGAAAAAAAAAAAAUGAAAGCACCCAAUGCUACCUAGCCGUUGCAAAUAAAGAAUGCAGAUACACUAAAUAAAUAAAUAAUUUUUAAAAAAAUAGUGAAUUGCACAUACAGUGAAUGUAAGUGGGAUUAGCUAGACAUUGAACGAAUUCCAGCUCAAGCAAAAAGCGUUGUCUCCCGUCGUCUGGAUCUUUAUAUACCUUCUUUGGCCUGAAAAUUCUCUCAAAAUAAACUAAUUAAUAAACUUUUCUGAGACUGAAAGAGAUUUAAAAAUUAAAAAAAAAAAAAAGAACGGAUACUUACGAGGAUGGGGCAUCGGAUGCUUCUUCGUUAUCCUUGGAAGCCGCCAUCUUAUUUUAUCACUUUUUACAAAUUGAAAAUUAAUUUUAAAAAAUUAUAUCAAUUGGAAGAUUAACAGAAAUAGCAGUUUGCAGGAAGCUUUUAAUUGUGAAACAAAGAGGAGAAGAGCGUCGACCAUCGAGCAAUGUGGUAAGCGCCUCCAAUUCUAGCAUUCAAUUGGGCAGCACAAUUUGAAGGCCCGGGAUCAGGUCCACACACAUAGGGCGCAACCUUAAGAGUUAGACUAUUGGCACACCUCUUAAAUUCUCUUAAAACCCCUCGUUUUUUUUAUAUAAAAAUACCCAUUUCCAAAUCGACACUAUUUUCGUUUUAAUUUUUAAUUAAUUUUUCACUCUUAAAAUUCUUUUAAGCUAUUUUCAUUUCUCGAUCUUGGUGGUUUUUGUAUGAUUAGAACUCCACGUUUGCAGGUGAUGUUAAUAUCGUUAGCAUUGGGUCUGGAACAAUUUGGUUUGUUCAUGUGGCCAAAUCAAAUUUAUCUCGGAAGGUUUCACUACUAUCAUUAGAGAUAACAUUACUGUUCGCGGCUCAUGGACAAUCAUCUUUGAACUGUAGCAGUGAGACUGGGGUUGGGUUUUAUUUAAAAGUUCUUGAAUUACGAUUAUCAUUUAAAAUGAAAAUAAUCAUCAUGCAAAUAAAGAGAGAAGAAAGAAACAAAGAAAGAAAAAGAGCAAAUUUUUUUUUUCCCCUUGAAGAAUACAUACUUAAUUGAAGAAAGAGAAUAAAAUAAGCGGGAUUAAUUCUAUUUGUGUUUGUCCUAAAAUGCAAUUAUAACAUCAUAAAGGUUUUAUAAGAUUGAUGAAAGGGUGGUAUCAGUCUAACUCCUCUUAAACAAAUGUGAUUAUCAAGUUAUUAGAGUAUACCAUGCUAAAGUUCUAUACUCUUUUGUCAUGCAUGUAUUUAUAGUGCUGUACAAUUAGGAUCAAAUCGUAUAUGAUCACUUAUCAGAUAACCACUUAACACUAAAUCGUAAUGCACUUAAGUUUGAUCUAUAAAAUUUUAAUUGUGCACACUUGAAGAGUGAAAAGUAAAAGAAUUAUUAUUUUUGGUCAUAUAACAAUGAAAGAAUUGUGAAAGCCUUAACUGUGUCCCUUGGUUUUAAUUUUUUAGGGUUUGUUCCAUAUCAUUUAAAAAGUCUAUUUUUAUUUUCAUUGUCAAAAUACAAUUAGAGUAUGUAUUUAGCAACGUUUUUAAGAGAAUAUAUUUAUAAAACAUAAAAUAUAAGGUGCACAUUUUAGUCAUAGAGCGUGUUUGGGAGUAAUGUAAAGCAGCUAGACUGUCAAAGGUCAACUGCUAAAGUAUUACAUCUUGUAAUUGAAUUUUAACAACUCAACAACUUAAAUACCCACAAUUAUGAUUUUUAUUUCACAGUAACUGUAGAUUAGAAACUAUAGAACCUCACUUUUAAAUGCAAUCACCGAUUAGGAAAUAACUUAAAACUUUUAUUAGCUUUGAUGCUUAUACUUCUCCAUUUUAAUCAUCAUUUUUUUAAUGAUAACUCCCGCCCCGGCUCGGACUGUCGGUCCACUGAUCUGAACCGGCUGGGCUCUAAAUUGCGGGAUCAGUCGGGGUCACCAGUCUGAUGACCCGAGAGACAAUUAAAGGCAGAUUUUUUAUACUCACUAAGAGAAUUGAACCUGUUACCUCCAUUUUAGUCAUCAUUAUUCACUCAAAAAACAAGCUUUGCCAAAUUCUUGUGUAUGGUCUCCAAUAUUACCUCAAUCUCAAUAGUAAAUCACCGGAAAUGGGAACUUCAAAAGAGAAACUAGCUCACAAAAUCCUCUUUGCACAUCAACCUGAAGCAAGCAUGUAAGCCGAAGGGAUGCAUCUGUAAAGAACAAAAACAUUGAUGUUGUAGGCUUUCUUUUCCCAUGAUACAUGACAUGGCGUCUCAGAAAAUUUUCACUCGCAACACUUUUAUCUGAAUAAGAUCCUUGCUAGGGUUAGAAUCACCGUAACUAACCUUAAAAAUGUAUUGAACUAGAAAAACAUGAAUUCCUUGGCAGGUAAACUCAACAACAGUAUGAACCUUAAAAUGCCCAAUCUAAGAUCAAGAGUUCACAAAUACAUGAAAAACAUUUUUGUUACUACAACAUCUGCAUUUCUGCCUUUCUUCUAUCCCUUUCCAAAGCAAGCAAAUGCAGGACUUCCAAGUAAAAUUAAAAUCCAUAACUGCUGCAGGCAAAGCCCUCCAGGAAGGAGCCAGUUGGCUUCCACAUGCCAAUGAUGAUACAAAUGCUUUUUUCUUCCCCAAAUUACAGAUAUAAUGACACGACUGUCUAAGAAUGAAUUUGGACCAAGACUAACAUGAGAUACCACCAUUAGUAUGGCCUGUACCUCAUGGGUCGUCUGAACCUUGGAAUCCUUCUGCACAUAAGGAGAAUCAAAUUAAUUCAUAAAAAAAUUAGCAGUAGAGUGGGGAAAAAAAAUCAGCUUUACAAUGUCUAGAAAGAGAAUCAAAAGUAAAGCUUGGAGUUCCUAGGAAUCAAUGAAAAAAUAAUAGUAUAAUAUUCUCUUGUGCAUACACAAUCAAACAAUCCAUGAAAACAAAUCCCAUGUAGCAUAAAUACACCACACUGAUGCAAUUUUUCAUUUCAUUCACAAAAACCUACGCCUCAUAAUGAUAUUACUCAGUUACACAACACUAAUAAAAUAAUUUCACAUGCAAAAGCAUCCUAAAGGAAAGCAAAAACCAAAAAUAGACUGGCAGACACAUCACAGAAAAGGGUUAAUGUGUGCCCUUAAAAGUACAAAAGUUUUCUAGUCCUUACCCAUACCCAUAUGGAACAAAAGGAACACCAGGAAUGAAUGGCCUUCGACCUCGGAAACCAAACGUGUUGGGUCGCCUUCCUCGGAAUUGUUUCAUACCAGGAAUGUUGGUUCGCUUAGCAGAGACCUGCAAAUAAACCAGACCCAACAUUAUAAUCACAAGCCGAUUCAUACUGUAAUCAACCACCAAUAAUCAAAUCUACAGACCUUCAAUUGUCGACCAUGGAGCUCUGUUUCAUUUAACAAAAGAGCAUUCUGAACAGCAUCAAUUUCAACAAACUCAACAUAAGCAAAUCCUUUUGGUUGACCAAACUUGUCUGUCAAAAUCGUCACUCUGUUAACCGUUCCACAAGAUUGAAAAUGCUGCUGCACUUCCUCAGGAGUGCAUGCAUAGUCUACCUGAAUUGCACAAAUACUAAAAAACUGUAAGGAAGUAACUCUCUUUGUCUACAGUUUUGAUGUUGCCCAUAUUGAAACAGCACAAGCGUAAAAGAGAGUACAAACUCUAAUGUGAAUAUCUAACAUUGAUUAGUUAUUGGACAAUGAUUGGUUGACUGAAUUAUACUAUUAGAAACAUUUGUAGUAUCUAUGUGUAUAAAAUAAAAGACAAUGUUGUUAGAGCUACUAUUUCAUAUUUCAAUAUUAGAAUUCAUUUAUAAUCUAUAAUUCACAGUUCAAGUUAAUUAUCACUUCUUAAUACAACUAAAUUUGACAAACUUACCAAACAGAAACCACUAAAACUAAAAUAAAUCCUCUUCUUACACAUAAGUUGUAUUGUCCAGAAACAGAAAUAAAUAAGGACGGAAACCUCACAUUGCCAACAUAGAUUGAUCGGGAGUCCACCUCCUCCUUUUCAGCCUGAGUUGCAGAAGUACUCGAGGAAUCUUCAAACAUGCCCAAGAGGGAACAAAAAAUAUAUAUCAACAAUCAUAUAAGCGAUCUAAAGGAACAAAACAUUUAACUUCAAAAUUUACCCAAAAAAACACUACAAGAAAACCAAAAUAAGGUAAGCCAACUACUUGAAAUCAAGCUGUCACAUACAUUUUUCAAAAAAAAAAAAAGUAUCAAAACUGUUUAAAGAUCAGUCAUUUAUUAUAUACAUCAAUUACGAGGAAGGUCAAAGAAAACAAAACAGGAUUCAUAUUGACGGCAGAGACAUAGUGGAUAACUCAUCAAGAUGGCUAGGUCAUAAAAGCAAUUCUCAACCAAACGAUCAGAACCUAUUAAUCAGUAACCCAUGCUUCUUAUAUUGCCAAUAAAACUGGAACACGAAUAAAUUCAAACAAAGUAAGUCAGACUUAAGAAAGUGAGUAGCACACUUGCUCUUAUUAGGUCUCCAAAAUCAUCUAAAAUUAUCACUAAAACAAGUACACGUAACACGAAUCCAGAUCUUAAAUUCAAAUUUGUUACACAAUUAAACAAUUAGAUUACAGAAAGAAAGAAACCUUGGACGGCGCCCAUCUCCUUCUCGACUUUAGCCUGCAUUUCGCGGAGCGCGCCGGCUUCCUCUUCAAUCUCCUUCAGCCUCUUCUUCAUAUCCUCCAAGUCCUUUAUUUUUUUAAAUUAAAAGAAAUUAAAAUUAUGAACAAAAAUCAAUCAGAAUCCGCCAAAACACAAACACAUAAACAGAGACAAAAACGCCUAAAGAAAAUACCUUGGAGUUAGCGUUCGGGUCUUCUUCAUUUUCAUUGUCGGCGUCGUGUUCGUGUUCGUGGUCGUGGUCGUGGUCGUGUUCGUGUUCGUGUUCGUCGACGUCGAUGUCGGCGUCCAUCUCGUCGGGGAUUUCACCGCCGUAAACGUCGUGCUCUUGCUCAUCGUGUUGCUCCAUUUUAUAAUUUUCUAAAUAUUUUUCUUGUGUGGCUUCGGGUUUUUUGAAGGUUUUUAAGUUCUACUUUGGUUUGCGGUUUAGGGAUUUAGAAGCUCCCUCUUGUUAUUGGUGAUCUAUUCUGUGGAUUGGGGACGAUGGCUCUUUUGUAGUUGUAACGACCUUAUGGGGGUACAACGAUAUUUCAUUACAAGCCUUUGGUAAUUUUACAAAUAAUUUGGGGUACAAUUGAUAUUUAAUUAUGAAACGUUAUUUUCUUUCUUUUUAACCUUUUUUCUCUUGAGAUAGGAUUCAUUGAAGCAUGAAGAAAGCUCGAAGUGGUGAAAAACUUUCGUCCACGUGCGUCAAUCCACAAUAUACAGGCGAUGUUUCAUAUGCGUUUUAUGGAAAUGUCGUUUAUGUGACGAGAUUAUAAACGACACCUCAUAUAUUAGUGGCUAAAGAUUUUUUUUAAUUGAUAAUAAAAAUUAUUAUUCUAUAAUUAUUAUUAAAGAAUAAUAAUUACGCUUGAAUUAAUAUUUAAUUAAAUAAAUUUUUUAAUAUUUAUUCUAUGAUACUCAAGAAAAUAUAUGCAAGAGAAUUUUUUGUUAUAUCGGAUUUGAAAAUUUAUUAAUUAAUUUUUAACUGGUAUCUCUAUGAUAAAAUUACACAUGUAAUAAUUAAAUAUGUAAGAUUUUGACACAAAUUUGGGUCAAACCUACAAAAGAAGGGGCUGUAAUUAAGUUAAGGGUAAAUUUCAUAAUUUCUCUUGAAUUGAUUAUUUUUAAAAUGUCCCUUUACGUUUUAAGAUCUCAAACUACUUUUUUUUUCCUUACAAAAAAUAAGAAAAAAUACUGAUGGAUUGACGAUUUUUUGUUUGUUUGUUUUCUUAAUAAAAAUUGACAGUAAAUUAAUAUUUUUUAAAAAAUAAAAGAAUAAUUUAAAAAAUAAUCAAUUCAUAAGGGGGUAAUUUGAAAUUAACCCUUAAUUUAAUUAGAUCAGCCUGCAAAGAUUGUGCUUCUAUGAAAAUUGCACAGGGAGGGAAAAUAGAUGUGCACAUGGAGAAAAUAAAUUUAAUCUAAACUUCUAUAAUUUAAACUUGUGCAUCUAAACAGAGGAGAGCUGAAACAAGUAAUCAAUAGAAAAUAUCAAACACUUGUAGCAGUGCUUGUUAGCUGAGAAAAUGACCGAGAGAAAAUGGAAAGGAAAAUCUGAGAGAUGAAAGAAAAAUUUUAUAUAUUAACUGAGAAUUGCGAAUAUGAUCUACAUAAUGCUGAGAAUACAAGGAUAUUUAUAGUAGAGCACCUUAUUAUAGUAACAAAUUGAGCACUGCAGUUUUAUUUGCCACGUCAUUAACACUCGACUGUGGUGCUUGACAUAAGCACAAAACCAGCCAUGUAUGCAGGAUUUCUCCACCGGAAUCACCGCCCCACGGCCGCUGGGGCCGCGGCGGGUAGAGAAAAAAACGAGGCUAAGGAAGAUGAUUGCGAAGACAAACACAUGAAUUCCGAUGUUUGGUAUCUUCACUUCAGACAUAUUUCUUUGUUUUCUCAAUCUAUUACUAGUUUGGCGAUGAAGGGAAAGGGUUUUAUUGGCAUGCAAUUUAUAAGAAAAUUUUAGCGAUUAGCGGAAUUUAAUCGAGUAAUUUUCAAAUAGUUUUAUUUGACUGAACAUCUAAAUUCGAAUCUUAAAGAGAUUAGAAAAUUAACUUAGCUAUGCUCUCCUCUAUCUUAAAAGAAUGAUAAAAUAAUAAUUCAAAAAUGUAUAUUGAAAGAGUUUGGAAUUUUCUUGUUGCGGCUAACUGUUAACAAAAGUAAACUCCAUUGUGUUGCAUGAAUAACAGAAAUUAACGGAAUAUCAUUAAAAAUAUAAUCUAACUGAGAGGGCAGCAUAUAUAAGAACCGUUCGUUUGUUUCCAAGAGCCGCCUAAGGUUGACUAGAUUCACUUUAAGUAAAAAGAACCGAAGUUUGAAGUGUUUGGUUCCAUCAAAUUUUCGGACGGUAAUGAUUAGAGUAUAUGAGUUGCAUGCUGUUUUCAUUCAAUCAAUAUUAAUGUUAUAUCAUACUAGUUUAUACUAAAUGUUUUGACAUUUUUGUACAUAAUCUUACUUCACAGUUAUUAUUAUUAUUUAUCUCAAACAACUGUAGGGUAAAUUUAUAUUAAUCACUUCUGACUAACGUUGCAAAUUAACUUAAUCUAGAUAUUUUAGAAUUGUAGUUUAAAGGCACCAUUGCUAGAGAAUUCCGCUCUAUCUGAUUGAGUUAUAGUCCCUCAUUUUUGUGAUACAUAUUAAUUAAUAUUAUCACUUUAUCAGACCAAGAUGAAUAUUCCGUGGUCUCUACACCAUAUUUCUUUGAUCUUCUUUACCAGCAUUACUUACAAGUUCUAUUAAUUUCAUUUGUAUUUCCACCGAUGGGAUGUGAUGGAUAUAGUUUUCCAUUUUUUGUUAUGACGAUGCACCAUAUGAUAUCACAAUUCCACAAUUGAAACAUGUAGUGUACCCAUUUAGAUUUUAAUUUCAUCAAAGGAAGUUUCAGAAAAAAUGAUAAUAUUUUGUUGAUUUAUACAUUUAGUAUUUUCAAAAUAAUUAAGAGUGUCACCUCGUCAAUGUUGUAUUCGUUAAUAUCUAACUGUUUAUUUUAUCAAUUUUCAACUAUGUCAAUCCAUCUAUCAACUCCGUGACAAAAACAAGUGAAGAUAAACGCCAAAUAACCAAUAAAUUAAGACAAUAAUUUCAUUAAAAAAUAAAGGGUAUUUUUCAGCUACAUUAUCUUCAUCAUAAUAUUGACAAAAUAUAAUUAGUAAGAAUCCCAAGGUGUCCACUGAAUUAUAAAAAGUUUCGAAAGGGUAUCAUUAUUUAACAACAUUUUUGUUGGCUUAUGAACUUUAUUUAUUUAUUUUCCAUUGAUAUCUAUAUACUAAAACUAUUUAAUGAUUAAAUAAGGUGAAAGUAACUUUGGUCAAACCCAUAAAUGGAAGAGAUUAAGAAAUUCUAAUUAGUCAGUGUUUACAUUUUGAAUUGAAGUGGAAAUUUUAAAAUUGUGAGGGUGGAGUAAGAGUGAGAGUAGGUUGUUUAUUUAUAUUAGAAUAAGAAUAUGAAAUCGGAAUCAGAAUUAAGUUUAUGUGAUUACCUUGUCUUGGAUUGGGAGUAAAUAAUUUUAAAUAUUUAUAAUUUUACCCUUAUUUAAAGAAUUAUAGUUUUUAAUUACAAAAUUAAUAAAAAAUAUAUUUAAAAAAUUGGGUUCAUGGAGUGAGAUUUGUUGGGAUUAUAUGCUCUUUUAAAGCAUAUUAAUUUAUUUUUCGAUUAAUAAAAUAUUUGAGAUAUUUUCAAUUGCAUAAAUAUAUAUUGAAUAAGGUCCGUUUAAUAAUAUUAUAUGUAUUUAUGUGAUCAUCAUAUGGAUUCACAGAAGAUAUAAAUACAAGUUAUCUUAUGAUUAAAUAAAUUUAGUUCGCAGUUGAUAAAUAGAGUUGGACGCUCUAUUUAUGUUUAGACUGUAGUAAAUUCAUUGAAUGAUUUGUUUUAAUCAUAUAUGAAUUUGCUCAAUGUAGUUUGACUACAUUGAGCUGGAUCACAUAUGAGAUUUCAUUAACCUUGAAAUGACUGUUAGACUUAUUAAAUCUCAUAAGCAUUGAUUUUACUGUAAUCUUAAUCUUGAGUUAGUUAUGAUUUCAUGAUUGUAAUUGUUAUUCUAUUUGAUUUACCAAUGGGCACGACACACACUUGCGGUCAAGAUUACCCAGUAUCUUGGUGGGAGCAAUUAUGAGUAUUGAAGUUAUAGAUUAACAAUAUAGAAUUUGUACAACACUCUUUUGAUGGGUUUUCUGCACUUGAUCAUAGAAUUCUCUGGCCAGAGUGUGUGAACAUAUUUAGUAUGUUGAAAAUGAUCAUCAGAGAAAACCAGUAAGUAUCAAGAAAUAAGAUUUAAUUAAAUCGAUUGGACAGUUAAGAUAUCAAUUUAAUUAACGAUGUGGUACAAAGGAUUAUGCAGUAAAGAAAUCGAUAUGACUUGGGACAAACUAUUAUUCGAGUAUACAAUUAAGGAGGUCAAUUCCAGUCUUUUAGUGGAGUAGAUUUGAAAUUAAAUAAUUGAGAUAGUUUUAUUACAUGCAUAAUUAUUAUAGCCACUAUUGUAUGUUCCCAAAUGAUCCCCGGGUUAGCUCAUUUAAUUGACUGCGCCAUUACUGGAUUAAUAAGCAAGAUAACUAGUUAUUUGGGUUAAAAGUCUAAAUAUAUUAUUUUGUGAGAGGCUCUAUGUAAUGUACUUGUGUCUAAGGGGUCUUGUGUUGUUUUAUAAGGUGGACCCCUAUGACAAGAAAGAAGUAAGUUACUUUUGGUUUAAUAUUUUUAAUUUAAAUCAAACUUGAUUUAAUAAAAUUAAAUAGUAUUAAAUAUGGAGCCUAGGGUUUCCACUAAAUAGAUAUAUAAAAAAGUUUAUUUUCUCUUGAAAAUAGAGAGAGCCGUAUUAUACAAGAUUAGAGAAAAAUAUUUUUCUCUCUAAUUUUGAGAGAAAAAUUUUCUCGUCCUAGUUGCUUUAGUGGUGAUAAAGGUGCUCACACGUCAAGUGCAGAUCAAACUUGAGUUAUAGCAUGAAAGAUUAUUUGUUAGAGGAUCGUGAUAUAAUAAGAGUGGUUGUGACAGAUUGUGAUCUAACAAGAGUGAUGAUGACAUAUCGUGAUCUGGGAGCCUAAAUCACUUCGGCGAAAAAAAAAACCAAAUCGGAUUUUCAAGGUACGAUUUCUAGAUUACAUAUUCUUAUAUAUUGUAUGAGAGCGAUCCUAAAAAAAUUAAAAAAAAUUGAUUUUUCUCCAACAAGAUUCUCAUCCCCCUUAAAAUAUGUAAAUAAAUACUGAAGUUGGAGAAAUAUACACUCCUCAUUCUCACUCUAAUAAGUAAACAUAACAUUAAUUCAGAAUAGUUUGUAAAGAAUAAUGUGCUCUUAAGAAAAUUGCUAGAGGGAAAAUUGUAAAAAAGGAAAAAAAAAUCCACAGGGAGAAAAUAAAUUUACUCACACUAGCCUUCUCUUUGCAGUAGUUGUGCAUAGCGCUCAAACAAUUAGUAAUUGGAAUUAAUAGAAUUGCAAAUAUCAAACACUUGUAACAGUGUUUGUUAGCUGAGAAAAUGAUGGGUGAAAAUAGAAAGGAAAAUUUGAAGAGUAACGGCAGUAAAUGAUUAAAGUUCUGUAGUUUCUCACAUAAAAAUUUUAACUCCAGAGAUAUAAUUAUGUGGAGAAGAUUAAGGGAUUAUUUGUUAAAUAUCUGAAAUUUUAUUAAGGGGAGAGACAUUUCCACCCCAUUAUUUCAUUAUUUGUAUAAUAACACCCUGGUUCAAUAUAAAUAUAGUUAAUACCAGAUUUACCCCAAGAACAACGAAUUUAUUCAUUAUUUAUAUUCUCUUUAUUUACGCAAGUUAUGUUUGCUAAUUGCUAAAUUGAAAAAAAAAAAAAAAACAACAACACUGGUCCCUGUCUUUCACUCCAAGCUAAGCAUAAUACAGAACUCAAUUAAUUAUUUGGUGGCUCUGGUUCUAAUCCUUGGACGCUAAAGUGCAGAGGAGUACUUUUACGAAAAUACUGCAACGCAAAGAAAUCAUCCUAAAAUUUAAAUGACGAGAGAAUUUGAGAGCUGUACUAAAGAAAGAGUUCAACAAAACAAAAGACUGCAAAAAAAUGGAUGACUAUAAAUUGACUUUAAAAAAAAAAGAAAGAAAUAGAGAAAAGUAGUUCUUAUACAGAGGGUAAUAGGGUGGGUUCGGAGACAUCUCUGAACCGAAAGCAUCUCCGAAUCCGCCCCCAUAAUCAAAAAUUCAAUUUGAAUUAGGAACUACAAUUACCCAUCUUCAUAGCUUCCAUUUUUUUUUUUAAAGUUUCAAUUUUCAAAUGCCAUCAUUUAGUUGAUUUCAUGGAUUAAAUAGCUGAUGUUUUGGUAGCUAUCUCAGUGAAGAAACCCGGUAGACUUGAAACUAAGUUAAGAAUGAUGUAGUUAUUUAAGGUCAAAAUUGCAAUUACAAUAAAAAAAACAUAAUAAUCGGGGUGCUAUUAUAUAAAAUAAGUGGGGUGGAAUUAUCAUCACCCUUUUAUUAGUUUCAAACCUCUUUUAAAUUUUUUUAAAAUUAUAUUUGAUUUUCAGAUAUUUACAUAUGAAUACAAAAAGUAAAUUUUUGUGAUUUUUAUUUGAAUAGAAAAAGGUAUGAAUGAGAAAUCAAUAUUAUAUUUAAAAAUAUUUAUAUAGAAUAUAGAUAUUUCUUAAACUAUAAAAUAUAAUCCCUUUUUUUGUUUUGAUUUGAAAGGACAUAAAUGUCAAAUAAUCAUAUUUAAGAUAUUUUUUAUUUAUAAAAAUAAACAAGAUAACAUUUGUAUUAGAUAUUAAAAAAAAAAGUAAACAUGUCAUUCAAAUAGUCGUAUUCAGAUUCAUUCAGACUAAAGAAAAAAUUAUACUAAUUCAGAUUUUAGGCAAAAAAAAAAAAAAAACACUACCUAAAUUGUUUUAAGCACCGACAGAACCUGAAGCACUCACUGUUUUAAAGAGAGGAGAACGGGGUAUUCACAGUUGAUUAAUGAUUAGAUGUGAAUUAAAAGUUAAGUACUGGUAACAGUAAUUCGAUAGAUUUUAUGAGGAGAAAUAGAGAUAUCUCUCCCAUAAUAUGUGAAAGCAUCGACGUAAUUUCAUAGUUAUUUCGGUUGGGAUGCAUCCUGAAAAAUAUAAACCGGAUGACAGAAUAAGAAGAUCUAAGAUGUAGAAGAUGAUUUCAUGAGUGAUUCGGUUGAAAGGGAAAAUUGUGAAUUUGAUCUAGACAAUGCUGAGAAUACAGCAGCAAGGACAUUUAUAGUUUGAACUGAAAUAUCAGCACCUUAGUAACGAAUUGAGCACUACAAUUACAACAGCCUUUGCCAGCUCAGCAUGCCACAUGAUCAAUACUUAAAACUAACUUAAAACUGCGACUAGCUAGAAGCCCGAUAGUGGGACGCCUAAUCUAUGAAGCUUGAAACCACGUCCUCCAGCAGUUCGAGCAAUUGACUAGUUAACAUAAUUAACCUAGACCUUUGCAGGAGGAGGAAGAAUCCAUUGAUUCCCCUGAACGUAGUCAAGCACCAGGAAGGGUCUGGCCUCGGCAUCACUUAGCUGCUUGGUGUAUUCAACCCUCUCAGCUGGACUGGCCCCUGGUCCUGAGCACUUAUAUUCUCCAUAGAACACAGUUCUGCAUACAAUUCAUAGACUUUUUUCAUUUAGUUACCAAGAAUCAAUUAAAAAAACAAUAAUGUUAGUCCCAACUGAUGUGGCAGCUACAUGUUAAAUAUUAAUAACUAAUUUGAUAUGGUAUUGUCGCAUAAGUUGACACUCAGUUUGGGGGCUCAAGCUGGGACUUUGAUGCUAAAAUCUCUAGUAUUCUCGCUUAUAUAAAAUUAGAAUGGCAGAGGAAGGCUUACUGGCGGCGCUCUGGACGAAAAUUAUCUGACCAUCCAGCGCGGUUGACGACAUUGCCCAUGGUGGUAUAAGCGUACACCACUCUAGGACUAUUCUUCCAUGCUCUGCCCAAGUAUGUCCCAUUCCCGGAUCCUUCUAUCGUGCAAUGCACAAAUGCGAAUCCAUUAUCCUCUGAUUCACUUUCCCUCGCAUGUGCGGUUAUCACUGUAAGCCCCGUAUCCCCCAUUGCACGCAACUCCGUGCUCUGCAAUAACAUUCGGCAAGGUUUUCGUGAAUUAGGAUCUUCUCAUAAUCUGAACCUAUCUGCUGAAUUUCUAAAAUCUCGUGUCUCUUGUAUUUUUAAUUAGCUAAGUAAGAUAGGAGUUUUGAUUAAUGAUUACCAAAUACAACGACUUUCCACUUCCGAAAAUGAAAUCAACAGUGCCUUGAAUGUGACAAUCCUUAAAGAAAUGGUUGCCCCUGUCAUCACACAAGGUGUCCUGGAACCCGAUGAUUUUGCAGUUAUAAAAGGCCGCUUUGGUGCCGGAGAUCCUCAAAGCCACCGCCUGAGCUCCCUCCCUUUUGCCGUCCGGCCUUGGCGAAGAAUUCUUAACAAACAAUAACAAAAACAUUUUAUAAUCCAUACAAAACAAUUUGUCACAAAACGUCCACUUAUUCAAGAAAUUAAUAAAUAAACCAGCAUAUACACAUACCGCUAUAAUAAUAUUUACAGCCAUGAAGUAAUCAGACUCCACAAUAAGAGUUGCACUAUCAACUGUUCCAUACUCCUUGGCGGUGCCCCCAAAUGUCACAUUCGGCAUAGCAUCAGGCGAUCCGUAAAAAGUAAUAAAGGGUUUAGAUCGAUCAAUCUUAAUCUUCUCAACAUAUUCCCCGGCACCAAUUGAUAAAAUGACACGCUUGGUGUUCCCUUGAGGUAUGCUAUUAAUGGCAUCAUUUAUGGUCUUGAAUUCGCCGCUUCCAUCUUGAUUCACCUUGAUCACACGCUGGCCAGCCUGAGCCGUAGAGAGUGCAGGAUCCAGAGUUGUUUUUCUCUCAGUGUAAGGCUUAACGUUGGCAGUAAACCAGCUCUCUAUUUGUGACUUCUCCGGUGGAAUCACAGCCCCAUCGCCGCCGCCGCCGCCAUUGGCAGAGUUUGCAAGGUGGUUGAUGAUGAAGAUUAUGAUUGUGAAAACAGCUGCCACAUGAUGAGUCAUGUUUAUUUGUUUUGUCUUAAUUUGUUAGAAUUGUUUGAUCAAUGAAAGAGUGUUCUGGUGUGCAAUUUAUAAGAAUUUGUCUUGUUGUCUAUUUAUGAGGUUUCUAUUAACAAAAGAGAAACUCUUUGGUGUUACAUGAAUACCGGAAAUUAAUUGAAUGCUAUACGUUAUGUGAAUCAAAGGCUUAUUUUGAACACUACUCGAUGUACGUACGAGUGUUCGGACAGCGCCCACGUUCUAAUAUAUUGACUUGUAACGAAAAAACUGAAGUUUUCGGACAAGGCAUAUCACAAAUUAUUAAUUAAUAAUACCAAACGAUCAUUUUCCUGAGGCUAAGGCUGAGGUUAUAGCGUCCAAAUUAAGAUUUAAAAGUAAAUUUUGGCGGCGCAUAAUGGACACAAUGAAGGACCCUAUGGAAAAGGACUGAAAAUAGAAAGCUAGCUGCCAAAUUCAAAUCAAUAAUCUCUGCUGAAAGAUUGGAAAUUUAUCAAUCCUCCAUUUAUAUACGUGUAUAAUGGAAUUGCUCUAAAGGGAAUUACACUAAAUAAAGCGUACACUAGAAAGCUUUUCGUUAUAAUGAAAGCUUGUAGAAAGCAAAACUUAUCAUCAAACUAUAUAUGAAGCAAAAUAUUAGAAAUGUUAAUUCAUUUCUUUCUGAAAUGUUUAUACAAACCAAUAAAAUAAAAAAAAAUAAAAAGGAUGAUCAUUUCCCAUCAAACUCAUUUGCACCGAAAAAAUGCAUGCAUGAAUGGUUCAUGAUGUACCCAUAAUCCCCAUCCAAUAGAUCAUCGUGAAAAAAUUUUUCUUUAAAAAAAAAAACACUUGUCAAUUGUUGGUUCCAAUUAUGCAUGCUGAGAAAUUUGAUCUCGAACUGAAAGCUUUUAGAAAGCAAAACCAAUUAAACUGUGUAGGAAGCAAAAUAUUAGAAAAAUCUAAAUACUUAGUAUACAUUCGAAUAAUUUUUUUUAUCAAUUAUUUAUAAUUUUUUUUAAAUCAAUAGUUCUUUAUUAGUUAAUUUCAUUCUUUUUAUUAGUGAGAUUAACAUGUAAUGUUGCAACUUGCAAGCUUUCCAAAUACUUGAAAACAAAAAUAAAAAUAAAAAUUAACGCUUCAACCGCUUUAAUCUAGUAUAAGAUCCAUGAUGUGAUGGCAAGUUGUUCAAGAAAUGUAUUUUAAUUAAUCGUUUUUUUUUCCAAUUAACUUCGAGCCAUCAGCAUUAGUCUUCAAGGUAAAUAGAUACAUGAGGCACAGUGUUUGUAUAAAAUCUACUAUAGCUAACAUAACUGGAACUGAUGAUCAAUGAUAGUAUUCUUCUCUGACUGUGAUUGAAUGGAUUGCCGAAUUCAAUUUUACUUAUAAAUCAAACAUUUGAAUAUAGUUACUAAAGCGUACACUAUAAUUCUCUUCGUUAUAAUAAAAGCUUGUAGCAAACUAGUCAAACUAUACAUGAAGGAAAAUAAAAGAAAUGCUAAUUCAUUUAUUUUCUCAAUUGUUUAAACAAACCAAUACAACAGAUAAGAAUGAUCAUUGCCCAUCAAAUUAAUUUACACCAUGAAUGGUUCAUGAUGAACCCAAAACCCCCAUCAAUCAAUGGAUCGUCGUGAAAAAGCACAAAGCCUUAAUAAAAAAAGGGACACUUAUAAAAUGUUGUUCCCAAUUCGCAUGGAUGCCUUGAAAUUUGAUCUCGAAUUGAAAGCUUUUAGAAAGCAAAACUAAUCAAACUAUAUAGGAAGCAAAUUUUAUCUAAGUACUUAUUUUCAUUUGAUAUCAUUUCUACAUCAAUUCUUUAUAAAUUAUACAAAGGAAUGAAACAAUUCCACCAAAUUUACACAAAAAAUAAAAAAUAAAAACUGCAUGGAUUGUAUGAACCCAAAAUUAACCCGUAUCAAUUACGGAGCAUUUUAGCAAACCUAUACAUUAUUAAUCCAAAUAGAAAAAAAUUAAAUCAUCAUCUUUGCCACGCCAUUUUGUAGCCAUGUGGUGUUUGCUCACCAAACCAUCUUUGAGUCAACAACUUCAAUCGAUCAUCUCUGUGGUCACAAAACUUGUGCUCCCACCCUUCAGGCUCAAUCGGCUGAAACCCUAAUCCCGGAGUCCUGUCCUUUGAAUUUGGGUUCGUUUUUUCUUUCCAGUCAGCAACAUAGGCCGAAACCCGUCUCCGGAACUUAACCUUAAACUCGGACCAUGCUUGGUACUUGUAGUGAUUCACCACACCAUCAUGGACGCUCAUGUGUUUCCACUUAAACGUCUUCUUCAACCCAAAAUGGUGCACCACAUUCCCCAACGAAUCAUCAAUGGCUUCUAACAAUACAAUAGACUUGUGCCGCGGUUCUUUAACCCGCCUUUGACAAUUAUACCCUUGCGUCACUCCUCUUACUGGAUGUGAUUUUUGGCCCGACGGUCCAAAAUCAUUGCACCUAAACGAAACUUGACCGAUUGAUGAAGGUUGCUGUGGUAACAAAGAUUUUAACAUAUGCUUCGAUGGCUGUGAAGCUUUCUCCCAUGAUGGUGAGUAGACAAAUUCGUCAACGUCAACGUACAACAUCCAUUUGCAUGAAUCCUUUGCAUGUAUUGCACUGUGUGAGAAGCCAGCUUCUUGAGUCUUGGGCCAAAGCCAAAGCAGCGUGGUAACGUCGUAACCAUCUAGGUUAAGCUCAUUAACGACCGUUUGAAGACCGUCGUCGCUGCCGUUGUCGUAUAAAAUGAAUUUAUCGACGCCGAUUUUGGAAUGAUAAAUCACCCAUUCUUUCAAAAACUUGCCCACAUUGUAGACCAUUGUACAUGCACAAAUUUCUGACUUCUUUGGCUCUUGAGUUAAUGCUAUCUCGUGCCGUGGUGAGUAGUAUGCCACGGAAGGGACGGUCCGGUUUUCUUUUGUUAUUUGUAGACUGAUUUUGAUCGGCCUGCCCUGGUCCGCGCCACAAGAAGAAAGGGCCGUUAAGUCAGGGUGAGAACACCUGAAGACCUCUUGCAUGGAGCUCGUAACAUGAGUUUUAACGGUACCGUGAACCACGUCAUCACCGAAUAUGCACAUGAAGUCUUGAGGAGGGCUGUUGAUUCCAGAGCGGCUGUUGACUCCUUUAACGAACAAAACGACAUCGCUUUCAGUAGAAAUCGAUUCGUAGGCCAGAUUUUUCAUGUUCAUAAGCUCACGUUGUUCUUCUUUUGGUAGAGUUUCCUUCUCCGGAUGCUUGGUCAAAAUGGGUUGCCAAAACGGCAUUUGACGGCGAACACCGUUCGGCAUAAUACAUUUGAACGCCGUCCGCUCAGUAAACGGCAACGCUCCCGAGAAUCUUGCUGGAGAAGUCUGAUUGUUCGAAAAGAGACAGUGAAAACCUUCGAGAGGAUCUGACGGCAUUAACGGAUUCUCGGGCGAGAGAAUCACUAGAACCUCCCAGUCCGGCAAGAGAACGGAGACGGAAUCGUAUUUAUGAACGGAAUCUUCUUCAACGGAGGACACGUGACGGCUCAGGCUAGUGACAUUAUACAGCUCCUCGAAUCCUUGGUUGGUCACGUGAUUUGAUUGGACGGUGAGGUUCACCUGAAAGAAGUAGAAACUAGAGCCGGAGAUGGCACUGGAAACGUAAAAAGAAAAGGCGGCUAAGAGAAGAAGAGAGAAAAAGAGCCGGGAGAAGCGAGUCCUUGUACGACGCGACGUCGUAUGAUAUUCAUCAUCACGUAAUGAGAAAGAAACAGAGAGAGCUCUUUGAUAGCCCAUUGUUUCUGGUUCAGUCUUGGUGUGUGUGUGUGUGUGUGUGUGAGUGUUUAUUUUCUAAUAUAUAUAUGUGUUGAAGGUUUAUCUGAAGGGUUUAGGAGAGCGUUAAUUAGCGAAUCCAGAUAGAAAAGGGACAAAUGUUUUUGUGAGGUAACUUCGCUUACAAGCAACUUGAGUUUCCUAAAUGGGGUUUAAGAUUAGAUAUAAGGUUAGAAUUAAAUUUCCUUCGUAAAUCAUGUUAUUAGGGCAUGCAUAUCCAAGAAACUUGUAACUGAUUAAGCGAAUAGGAGACGCACAUGUCUUGGAUUUCCUUGCAUGUCAAGGAAAUUUAAUUCUACUAGAUAUCUAAUCUUACGAUGUGUCGGCAUCUGAUUAGUAACUUAAUUGUUAUGUUUAUUAGAUUUUCCAUAGGAAACGUAUUGCAUUUGACAGGCGAUGUUUGGGUCUAAUUAUUAUUUUACAUAUAUUUUCUGCAAUGUGAUUUAUAAAAUUUCAAUUUGUAUUGCUUUGGAUAAAAUGAAGGAGUGUUUUAUCGGCAGUUGUUUUGUUGUUUGAAGGCUUUCACUUUUCGAAGUGGAGCACAAGUUAAUUUUCAAGUUUGUGCACGGAAGAAAUCCACCUUUGAUUUAGGGUGCGUUUGGGAUUGAGGUUGGGCAGCUGUAGCUUAAAAGUUACAGCACUAAAGUGUUUGGUAAACACUAGCUGCGGUAGCUUUUAAGCUAUGUUGAUACGAUUUUUCACUUGUAUAAUAUAAAAUUUAUUAUAUCUUUAAUAAUUUUAUCAAAAUUAUUAUUUAAAAUUUAUAUUUACUAUAUAUUAUUAACUUUUGUUUCAUAAUUACAGUUUUUUUUUCACAGCAGUUGUAGCUUAAAAGCUACAGCACCUCAAUCCCAAACACACUCUUAGUGGUGGGCGGUGGUAAAGUUCCCGCAUGUGCUUGAUUAAUUAAUUUCAUUGUAGUAGGGUUUGAUGAAAUAUAUGAGUAUGUAGUAUAUAUGCUUAAUUAAUGUUAGCAAUUUACAAAUGACGAUGAUAUCAGGAAUUAAUUUUGGGUUAACUAAAUCACAAAUAAUGUAAUUUAACAGGAGUACAUUGUUUUAGGAUCUUGCAAUACCGAACAAGAUGACAUAGUAUCUAUUUCUUUUUCUUUUUUCUUUUUAUAUAGUACUGAUAUCAAAUUGAUAAUAGCAAUUGGGUUAUUGCUUAAACUAGAUUUUAUUUCAUUUUUUCAGGGUGUUAUUGAUAAAAUUCACAUAUUAAUAAAGUGUGUUAAUUCAUGUAUAUUUAGGACAAUCAAGAUGUCAAUAGAGUAUUGAUAAUUUUAUCAAUACAAGAGUGUUCAACAAUUUGGACAUAAUUUAAUCCAUAAGUUUCUCGAUUGAAUUAUGGAAAUAGGAUCGGGAUUAAUUAAUUAAUUAAUAUAUACUUGUUGUUUCUCUCUCAAAACAAGAAAUAAAAAUAAAAAUAGGAAGGAAAAUUUCUUUUUGACAUUUUUUCAGUUUUGUUGACAUUUUUAAAUGUGACUAGUAAUUGAAAUCUUGAACUCGUGAUACUUAUGGUUACACGCAAAUUUCAUUCCUUUUGAAAUUAUUCGAACUCAUUAUCAUGAGUUCCAAUUUCUACCAUGCAUUAUGUCAAAAUCUCUGUAGCAGCUAGCAGGUUCUGGCAGAUUCGUCAUGUUCAUACUUACCAAUAGAUUUGUUAAUAUAAUAUUUAAAAAAGAAAAAAGAGAAAAAGAAACAAUGAUAUGAAUGAAUAACAAAACAAUGUUUUCGAUUGGAAGAAUUUUACAAAAUAUUUUUUGUCAUUUCGAACCUUACUGUACUGAUAUAUUCUGAUAUGAUAAGCAAGAAAUUAAGCAUACUAAAGCAUACAUUAAACAAUACAGGUUACAUGAUUUGUCAACAUUAAUUGGAUUAAUUACAUUUUGCGUCUAUAAAGUUAACAUUCCAUAUAGAAACUGUCAAAUAUUCUCUGUUCAAUAAUUGAAUGCAUGUGUUAGAAACUUCGAUGCAAUUAACAAAUACAAAUAUUCCACAUGACCCGCAGACACACGUGGCUUGCAUGCAGAUAGAAGUUACUGAAUCAUUCAAGAAAUGACCAUACAGAGACACUAUGCAUGGAAUCGUAAUCUAAGAGUAGAUUAAAACGCUUUCAAAAUCAAAUAAUCAAGGAUUUAUUUACUUUAUUUUGCAAGCAUUUCUCUAACUUGCAAUGUAUAUCAUUAACCCCUUCUAUGCUAAACUUCAACAAAUGCUCGUAUAUUAUUAUUAUGAUUAUGUGGAAUUUUGCCUUCACUCUAAAAAGGGACGUGAGCGAAACUUUGGUACUUUUAUUUUUUAAAAGUUCAUUUCAAAGUUUUGAUUACGAUAAAUACUUUUAAUAUGCUGUAUAAGAUAAUAACAUUUUUUUUAGAGAGUACAAUAUGAAUAAGAAUAAAUACAAUCCAAUAAUCUUGUCAAGAUUAAAUAUCCAAUCCAAAAUCUAUUAAGACUUACCUCAUACAUUAAAGUUGAAGUUAAGACGAAACAUAUAAAAUAAAAUAAUAAUAAAUAAACAAACUCUCACAUUUUGGAGAUUUCAAUUAGGGGUGGUAAAAAUAUGCGCCCGGUCCGAACGCAGACUGCACCCAGACGUUGUGGCCUAGGUAUUACUAGGCCCGGAUAUGAAGUCAGGUCGGUCUUGGACAUCACUUAAUAAACCUGGAGCCCGGCCUGGAACCCAAAUUUUAUUAAAAAAAUUAAAAAAUAUAUAUUAUUUUAAAUAUUUAUAUUUAUUUGACUCAUUAUUACACAUUUAAAACUUAUUUUCAUGUCAAUUUUUAUUGAAAUAUAUUUAAAACUUAUAAAUUACUAAAAAAUAAAAAAAUAUACACAUAUAAUAUUAAAAAUAUAUAAAAUCCAAAUAUCCCGAUAAAAAUCCGGCCCGAGCAUCUAAAAAUUAUAUUUGAACCGAGUCCAAACAUUGCAAUAGCCGAACCCAAACCCGAAUUUUACCAAUACUCGAACUUAGAGCCGCGUUUUACCAACCCUAAUUUCAACCGUCUACUUAAAAAUGAAAGACUCAAGCCAUUCCGUUGACGUGAGGAAGUGCCUAAACAACUUCCUUAAAACACUCUGAAAAUAACAUUAAAGUAUAGUUAGUUGGUAAUAUUUUUAUUUUUAUUUUUAUUUAAAAAAGGGUAGAGAGAAUCAAUUUUAUUAAAUUAAUUUUUUUUUUAAUUUGGUUACCUUCCAGAUAAUAAAGGAAAAAAAAAAUGAAAAGGAAAAAAAGAUACGCGUAAUAAAUCUCUACCGUAUUUUUCAUUGGAAAGACGAUCGAUGCAAGCAAGCAUUGUACAUCAAAGUCAAAAAGCACCUCUCUCUCAAAAAUCGGCAUUUUCCUUUUCUUUUUAAUAUCAUCGUCAUCCAUCACAUCAAUUUCCCAAUCACCUUCCUCCAGAUCCUGUAAAACCACCUAAUCAAAUACUACCCAAUAACGUUGACGCCCAUUAACGCAAAGCACUGGUUGAUAGAUAUUUACAUAAAUCUCAAUUUAAGUAUUUAAUAGGCAAAACCAUAAGCUCCGUUUAUUAAUUACUUUUCUCCGUCUUAAAAGACGAAGACCAACAACGCCACAAUGUUAAUGCUCGUGGACUGUUCCAAAUGCCGCACGACGUUACAGCUCCCGCCUGGGGCCCAGUCAAUCCGCUGCGCCAUCUGCCAAGCCAUCACCCACAUCGCCGACCCUCGAUCCGGCCCUCCUCCUCCCUCCUCCUCCCCCUCCUCCUCUUAUCAGCCCGGUCAGGUGCCUCCUUCCGCUGUCGCUCCCUCGCCUUACAACCACGCGCCCCCCGGCCAACCUCCCCACGCGCAGGGCCGCAAGAGAGCCUUGAUCGUCGGCGUUUCCUAUAGGCACACCAAUCAUGAGCUCAAGGGUUGCCGCCUUGGCCGUACAGCAGUGUCGCUCCCUCGCCUUACAACCACGCGCCCCCCGGCCAACCUCCCCACGCGCAGGGCCGCAAGAGAGCCUUGAUCGUCGGCGUUUCCUAUAGGCACACCAAUCAUGAGCUCAAGGGUUGUAUCAACGACGCCAGGUGCAUGAAGUACAUGCUCACCAACCGCUUUAAGUUCCCUGAAUCCUCCAUCGUCAUGCUCACCGGUAAUAUAUCAUUUUCUUUCUCUAUUUAUUUAUUUAUUUGCUGAUUAACUGUGAUUAGUAAUUUUGAUUUUGUUUAUUAAUUGUUAUGUGGCGAAUUAGCGAUAAUAGUUUAUCAUUAUGGUAUGGUGUAUUUAAUGAUUUGAAAGUAAGAGGGCUGUUUGGUGGCACAAAUGAAUCAGAUUCUCUUUUAAAAUGACUGGUGUUUGAGGCAUUGUUUAAAUUAAUAACGCAGUCUGAAAAUGGGAAUAGCAAAAGGUGAGCAAAAAGAGUGGUAUGGGAGUAAUUAAGAAAGAUGCUGAUUGACAAAAACGAACACCAAUAAUGCGCGCUGCUGAUUAAAGACGGAAAUAUGAACAUCUUUAUUGUUUUUCGGCCUAUGCUUGAAUCUAUCUCAUGUCACGUGUGGAGUUCAUUAACACAAACUUUUCUUUUAGUGGUCAAUAACAGGAAUUAUUAGUAAUAUUUCGUUUGAUUAGCUGUUUUACUGUGGAUACCGCAGAGUGCAAUUCAUUGUUCAAUGCUAAAUUUUAGGGCCUGAAACUUUGCCGUCUCACCUUGCCUUGAGGAAUCUUCCUAAUGCCACUCAAUUAUUUACGAUGUAAUGCUGGAAUGAUUGUAUCUAUCUGUUUUUUUGUUAGUAACAGCAGGUUUUAAUUGAGUUUUCAUAUGCAUCUGCUAUGAUGAUUCUGGCAAUUACAAAAAAUAAAAGAUUAGUUGUAAUAUCAGGUUUGUUUAUGAAGAUGACCUCAUCUGAGCUCAAUUUCUUUCUGAAAACCAAUUUGCAGAAGAAGAUCCCGAUCCCUUAAAGCGGCCUACCAAAUAUAACAUGAGAAUGGCGUUGUAUUGGCUUAUUCAAGGUUGUCAACCUGGAGACUCACUGCUUUUCCAUUUUUCUGGUCACGGUUCACAACAGAGGAAUUACAAUGGUGAGGAGGUUGAUGGAUAUGAUGAAACUCUUUGUCCAGUGGAUUUCGAAACCCAAGGAAUGAUUGUCGAUGAUGAGAUCAACGCAACUCUAGUCCGGCCUCUUCCUCGUGGGGCCAGGCUUCAUGCAAUUAUAGAUGCUUGUCAUAGUGGAACCGUGUUAGACUUACCAUUUCUCUGUAGGAUGGACAGGUUAGUCCCUUUUUGUUACUUUAGAUUGAUACGAGUUUAGAAAGACCUGAUAAAUGAACGAAGCACGAACAAAUUAAAAGUAGAGAAUAGAAAAACCUAUGACUAAAAAUCUUUCUACAUUGUGAGCUUUUGUGGAUUUUAGCUGCAUUUUAUUCUAUCUCUUCAUGCAUUUCCCUUGGCUUAGACAUGUUUUCUUUGAGGAUGCAGGCAGGGGAAAUAUAUAUGGGAGGAUCACCGCCCUCGAUCAGGAAUGUGGAAAGGGACAAGUGGUGGGGAGGCUAUUUCAUUUAGCGGCUGUGAUGAUAAUCAAACAUCUGCUGACACUUCGGUAAUGUUUUAGUGAUUCAUAGCAACCUUUCAUUCAACUGGAAUAUAAAAAGUACAUAUUUCAGUUGGGAACUGAUGUUUAAUUAUUCAACCUGAUGCUUUAUGAACAGGCUCUGUCAAAGAUCACAUCAACCGGUGCGAUGACUUAUUCUUUCAUCCAAGCUAUUGAGCGUGGACAUGGAGCUACAUAUGGGAGCAUGCUGAACUCAAUGAGAUCUACCAUCCGUAACACAGACAGUGGUAGUGAGCUUUCAGGUGCCGGUGGUCUUGUAACAUCUCUGGUCACCAUGCUUUUGACAGGAGGGAGUCUUAGUGGCGGGUUCAGACAGGUAUUUAUGUUCGUCAUGUUUGCCAACUGUUAUGGAUAUGGCUUGUCUUCUAGUUUGUUUGACAGAUUUGUCUCCCGUCUAUUACUUGGUUUCUUAAUUGAUGGUCUGGCACAUACAUGUCUUUAGUAGGUGGCUUCCAUUCCCCUUGCACUCUUCUCUUUUCCUUUUGAACCUGUUAGUGGGUGCCAUCUCCAUAGAUGCUGGAUGACUUUUACAGGAGCUUAGCAGAAUCAAAGAAGUAAUAAUGAACAGAGUAAUGGAUAGGAGCCAUAUUGCACCACAAGCAUACUAUUAGAUGCCACAUUGACAGAAUGAUGCCAUGAGGAAAAUUAAAGAAGUGCGGGAUAAGAUCCUAUUUUACUUUUGAUCAAUAAGCCCUCUCCCAAGUUUAGAACACCCAAAAUUCACUUUUGGAGUUAAUAUAAAUGUGAUAAUCAUAAAACUAUCAAGCUGGUGCUACUCUUUCUGCAGCUAGGUUCUAGGUAUACAAGGGCGCUGAAGGUAUUUAUUAUCUGUUUGCUGCUAAAAAUGAAAACCCUGAAUGAGCUUCGUGGUUACAAUUUUUGUACAUCCACAUCUACUGCUGUUCAUGUCUAUGUGGACACGUUCUGUUGCUGGAUCUAUCAUGUUGCGUCAUUCUAUUCCAAGAUUACUCUGAGAAUUUUGGCUUAGUUGUCAUAAAAAAUAAGACUAGACAUAUCCUUGUUAUUUCUUGUUUGUAUGCUUGAUGCUAUAAUCUCUGAACUUGUUCAUCCUCCUGUUUGAUGCAGGAACCUCAGUUGACUGCCAAUGAACCGUUCGAUGUCUAUACAAAGCCUUUCUCCCUAUAACUACUAGUAAAAGCAAUAUUCUUAUCCAGGAGCUCGUAAUUUGUUUGAAGUAUGUUCUGUCAAUGUGUACAGUUAUUGUGAAAACUUUGAUUCAAUCAUAUAUUUGUCCAAUAUUUGUACUUUUGGUUCUCUUUUCUCCCUUCCUCUGUUUUCAGAAUAAGAGAUGCUGAUUAAAUUAUAUAUAUCUCCAUUAUUGGACUGAUCUGCGGAACAGAUGUUUCAGAUUUAGAUUUGCUUAUCUUAUAAUUUCCCUCGCUAACAAGUUUGAGAAUUGAAAGAAUUACGAACUAAAGUAGAUUUAUUUUAUCACGGUGAUGAUAGUAUGGUAAAAAACUUCCACCUUGUUCUCAUCUCUGCUCCCGCACAACACCACCUCUGAGCUUUCUUUUCAACGACCACCGCUACCGCGACUCAGCUCACCUUCUCUCCACUCCACGUUACCACCAGUCCUGCAAGUUGCCCUCCGUUCCAACUCAGGGCGCCCACAAGCCCAACUCCACUUGGAAGCCCAUCCCACUAAUAUCCAUACAUGAUACAUCCAACUUAAAUUCUCAAGCCCAAAACCAAUCUCAAUCCAUUAAACGACAGAAGGUCCAAUCAUCCAAUAUAAGUCCACAAGUCCAAAAUCAAGCCCAAAUCAAUAAUCCCUCUAAUCCACUCGCCAACAACCAACCUCAAAAUCAGCCCACUUCCGUCCCCACACACGCAUAGUUUUGACUUCCACUCCCAAUCGAAAUUUAAAUAGGCCGAAAAAAAAAUUCUUUGCUGAAAUUAUGAACGGGCCCACACCUCCAACGAUCCCCAUCAAGACAAUCUCUUCUUACGAGGGUGAGCUGAAUGUGCAGUUUUCUGUAGAGGAAGUCAAACCGAUGGCUAUUCCAUUCAUUGGUCGAUAAAUUUUCUUACAAUUGCCCUCAUAUGGAAUUAAUUAGAAUUUUUUUUAGCUCGUGGGGAUUAAAAGGAAAUUUUAGAUUUUGCUAUUGGAUAAUCGUCAUAUUUUAAUUAAAUUAAAUGUCGAAUAAGACUACGCUCGCCUGUGGAUUAAGCAGACUUAGUAUGUUAAUGGAAGUGCCAUGAAAAUUUUUAAAUGUACCACAUAUUUUCAGAAGCUAGAUGUUGGGCGUGCUCAAUCUGAAAAAAACUGUUCCAAUCAUGAAAAACAUUGAUGCAUAAAUAUUAGCAUUUUCAAACCAAAAAAAAAAAAAAGUCAAACAAGUUUAUUUUGCGAGCAUGAGUCAAAAUAUCUUAUUUCCAUAUACAAUUUGUUGGACCAAUGGGCAAAAGCUGUAUCCUGACGUUAUCCCAAAUUCUUAUAAACUUCAAGUAACCCUUAAUUGUUAUUCAAAAAAGAAAAAUUGAUGAAACUUAUUUUAUCUUUUUUAUGAUAAUUAAAAAUAAGUUGAGGUUUAAAAUUGAAAAACUCUAAAACCUUAUUUGAAUCCAGACUAAAUUACUAACCAAUAUAAUUUCGGAAGCGUACCUGAAUCUAUUGUUGUUGUAUAUGAAUUUUUUAUUUUUAGUGAUGGACUUCCAAACUAAUCUCUAUCAUUUUUAAAGAAUUCUCAUUGAGAGAAUUUUGAAAAUGAAAGGAGAUUGAUAUAGAAUGGAGACCAUAACUUCUGUAUAUAAGAAAACUAACUAGGAGUUUUAAUUAAAAUCGUCUAGCAGUUAUUUUGUAUUAAUUAUUACUUCUAGAGUUUUAAUGGUAUAAUUGUUGUGGGAUAAAUACAUAGAUACUAGAGUUUUAAUUAUCACUUCUACCCUCAUAGAAGUAAUAAUUAAAACUCUAAUAUCUAUGUAUUUAUCCCACAACAAUUAUACCAUUAGCCGUUUAAUUAACAUUAAAUAGAUCACUUAAUUGUUGGCGGCCAAUUAAAUAAUACCACACACAUUUGAUUUGUUUCAUGUGUGGCCCCAAAUAUUAGACUAAUUAAAGAAUUAAUCUAACAUAAAAUAGUUUAAGCAUAUUUUGAAAAUUAUCAUUUAACGAAGAAAUAAUCUAAAAUUAAUCCAAAAUAAUUUUGAUUCGAUUUAGAAGCUCUCAAUUAAAAAUGCUUGAUUUUUUUGUGUUGAAAGGAAAAAUAUCAAUGUAUGAAAUUAAGAAAAAAAAAUGUAUUAAAAUAUUAAAUGCGCUGAAAUUAAAAUAAAAUUUGACUGGGUGGGGACGGACAACUGGACCGCAUCCAUUGACGAAGAAAAAAAAAUAAACAAAUUAAUUAAAAAAAAAAAAAGACUUUGCUUUAUGAGUCAACUGACCAAAAACUUCAUCGACUUCUAUUAUAAGCUGCCAUGUUUCUGAGUUUUUCUCUGGAGAAACUUUCUCAUAUUGGUUAAAAACUCUGGAAAUCAUAAAUUGUAAAUAAUUUCUGUUGUAAGAAAUUAUGGACAAGAACAAGCGAGAGAAGAAGAAGAAGAAGAAGUUGGAAGAUCCUACAUUUUCUUCUACUAAACAGGUUUGCCAUCUCUAUUAAUUAUUUAAUUUUGCAUGGCCUGUGUGAGUGUUUUUGUGAAAGUAAAAUUGCUUCUUAUUUGAAGAUUCAAAUUAAUCAAUGUUAUUGCUAUCGUAUUAAAUUGUUUUUAUUUUCAUCUUUGUUCCUUUUGUAGCAUUUUAGUAUGCAUAUCGUGGUGGAUCAGAUCACCUUUGAAGAAUUUUUUUUUCCCCAUUCUCUAAGACAAAACGUAUUUUAAAGAAAAAAAAAGUCUGAUAAUUAAAUUAUUUUUACAAAAUUCUUUGGAAACAAUGAUUUUGUUUUCCUCUUGAAGUCAACAACAACAGUUGAUGUUUGGGGACGUUUUAUUGGACACGAAUGCUAAUAGUAAACCAUAAAAUAUUUUUUCCUCGAUACAAAGGACUUGGGAACCUUUUUUUCUCUUUCCUUGUUCUUUUAGUUGACGUUAUUGAACUCAGAUUCAGAUUUAAACCAGAUUUUUGAAAUGUUUUUAAUUUGAUAGCAAAAAAGUAUUUUUAAAACUUUUUUAAUGAAGGUAAAAUAUCUAGGCUGUUUGAAAUAUUUAAAAAUGAUUUGUGAAGUUAUAAUCUAAGGGUUAUUAUUAUUUCACUGCUUCAAAAAUUGUCAAAUAUCAAAUGACUACAAUAAGUAAUGUAUUCUAUCAUUUUCCUAUUAUAUCUUUAUAAAAAUAUCAUUUUAUUACUUUUAUGUUAUAAUCAUUAGUUGAUCAGUUAAUUGACUAACAAAAUACCAAUUUCACCCUUUAUGAUUAAAAUUUUUUUUGAAACUUAUUUACAAAAUGAAUUUAUAAUAUAUUUAUUAAAAUGGAUAUAUAAUACCAACAAAUUCUUUUUGCUAGAAUUAUGAUAUAUGAGUUACAAAUUUGUCUUAUUAUUAUUUUUAAUCAUAAAGGGUAAAAUUGAUAUUUUGUUAGCCAACUAACGGGUCAACUAACGAUUGUAACGAAAAAAUGAUAAAAUAAUAUUUGUUGUAACGGAAAAGUAGUAAAAUGAUAUUUCUAUAAAGAUAUAGUAGAAAAAUGAUAGAAGGCAAUACUUGUUGUAGUCAUUUGAUAUUUGACAAUUUUUGAAGUAGUAAAAUGAUAAUAACCCUAUAAUCAAAUUAUCAUAUAUGCGUGGCAAAUUAUUAUUAUUUUUUAUAUGAAAUCACCACCUCCUAUAAUAAAUUCUGAAAAUGUGUAGCUUCUUAAACUUUGUUUGAAAAAUUUAGUUUAUCCAUAUACAGCUCCACACGCAAAAUUAUCAUUAUUUAAUUUGAAAAUAAAAUCAGUAAAUUUAAGCAGAAUUGGAUAAUUUUUUUAUUAUCAAGUUUUUGAGAUAAGAUAAAAGGAAAAAACUACCGAACACCAAGGUUUGCUUAAAUAGUAUGAACCCUACUCUGUUCAUAAAUAUUUACACAUACUGUUCUUUUGAUCAUUUACCAAAUUUUGGGAGUUUUGAUUUCUUUUUUUUAAAAUAAAAUUAUUAUUAUUAUAUAUAUAUUUUAAAAUAAAAUUAUUAUUAUUGUUAUCAUUAUUAUUAUAUAUAGAGCAAAAAUUGUUUACAUCCUCAUAGUUUGAAAAAAAUUAUUUACAUUCUCAUUGUAAUUUAACAAUAAGGUUUAUCAUAUAUAUAUAUAUAACUGCUUUUAUUUAAUACCCACAACUGCAGUUUAAAAAAAAUUAUCAAGCAAUAAACUAAUUCUCUUCACUAUUGAUUAUUUAUAUAGCACAAAACUGGCUUUAUUAAAGCAUCUAGUAUUAUCAUACUAAUAAGGUAAGUUCGUAAUAUUGUAACUUUAAUAUUUCAAAAUAAUUAAUAUUGGUUGUGUUAUUAUUAAAGUAUUUAGGACUAUCAAAUGCGCUUGCUAAUUAGGUAAGUUUGUAAUAUUGUAACUUUAAUAUUUUAAAAUAAUUAUUAUUGGUUGUGUUAUAAAGUAAUUACUUAUGAAGAGAAUUGAUUUAAUGUUUGGUAAAUUUUAUUGAAUUUUUAUUUUUUCAGUUCAACUAUUGUGUCAAGGCAAACAACUAGCUGGACAUAUUCUUAAAAAUGAAUAUUAUUUUCAGAUAUAUAUGUCUAUAUUUAUUAUAUUUCUACAUCAACAUUGUAUUUGUAAUAUUUAUGUUUUGUAUUUCAAAUAUUUGAUAAACAGAUAAAAUUAACUAAUAGUUUCAUAAAAAAGGAUCUCAUUUAGUUGAAAAUUUUACUGAUUUUCUUGUAAAAAUAUAUUUGUAAUUAAAUAAUCUGUGGCGGUUUACAUAUUAAGGGUAGUAUUGGCUUUUGACAAUAUUUACUUGGGGGCCUGAAAAAUUAUACUCUUGAUCUUUUACUGUACUAUAUUGUUAAUUAAUGUAAUUAAUCCACAGGAGGGAGUCCAAAGCAAUGAUUUUCCAGUGCCAUCUUUGAGAUUAGGAGUGAAACGGAGAAUUCUCCAGAAGCCGAUUUCGAAGGUAUGUGAUAUCUGUUAAUUGAUACGAUGCCAACUAUUUACAUUUCUUCCCCAUAAAUAUAGUGGGAUAUAAAGUAACUAAAUAUGUCAAAACCACCUAACAAGAGUGAUAGCUUUCACAAAAGUUAGUAAUUUUAAGAAUUAUCGUCAAUGUAUCUCGUAAAAAUUUCAAAAUUAAUGUUAAUUUACUUGUAUUAAUUUCUAAAGAUAUUGUUAGUGAUCGGUAACAAAACUUUAAUUGAAGUGUUUGAACUCAAUAUUAUUAGUCGGUUGUGCGGCUCACAUUGGAUAGUAAAGAGGACUUACUUAGAUUUAUAACUAAAAAUGUUCAUUCAUCUAAUAGGUUAAUCUUUUAAAUUGGAUACAUUGAUAUGUGACUCGUCUCCCAAACAAGCGAUAUUAAAACUAGAUUUUAGUAGGUAGAAUGUGGUGGUGGAACAACUUAACUAUAUCAGAUGAAACGAACUUAGAAUUGAACAAGAAUUUUGUUUUAUGGGAACCGCAAUACUUAGCUAUUGCCAAUCCCCAAGAUGCAUUAAAUUGAAUGUCCAUGCAUGAUCCACCAUCUGCACUUACUACAUUCACUCUCGGAAAUUAAAAUGGGAAAGAAUCGUAACCUCCUGUUGUUGAGGUAGUAUAGAUACCUCUACUCAAUAAACUAGUCUUUUCGACCCAGCCCCAACAAUUAUAGUGGUAUUUUAGUCAAACAAUCGGGAGACAAAUUUAAUUGUAGUGGUUUGCUCUUAAAAGUUUGAUAGUUAUGACCAUGUAGUCAGAACAAUAUGUAACGCUUUAAGCAUCCUUGGCCACGGAAUCAUUUAAUUUUAACUAUUGUAUUUAUUAUUUUAUGAAUUGUUUCUGCUUUUAGUUGUCUUUGUGGUCGCAAUUGAGGAUAUGUUUUCUUGAUCAUUUAACAUUGUAUUAGAUCGCAAGAACUAACAUUUGUCGAGAAUUAUUUUGUUGAUGCAAUAUUCUAGACGGUUGGAAGCAAAGAAUUACAAGCUGAUUUUGGUUAUCCGCCUUCAUUACAAGCUAGAGUGCAAUUUCAAAGUGGUGUUGUUGGUGAUGAUUAUCAAGAUAUUGAGAUAGAAGCAGCUGGUGGGACAGUGCCUUAUUCUCAUGAAGGUCAAGAAAUUGAUGGUUCUUUAAAACAGUCCAGUAGUACUACUACUUCAACUAAUGAAGAUGAAAGGGGAAAUGUCAGCUUAAUAUCUGAGGAGAGUGAAAUUGUACCGGAUGUGGGUUUAAUUGAUGAUCUUAAAAUUGGUCAUUUCGAGGUAAGCGUGGACACAGUUACUCCUCUCUAUAAAAAAUUUAUUGAUUUUUUUUUAUAGUGAACUGCACUGUAUGGAUGUCAUCAUAAAUUUAUUAGGCUUGAUCUAAGCACAAAUGCUGUUGUAAUUUUAAUUCAUAAGUUUUUGGGUAGUUAGUGACUUAUCUAAUAAAACUUUUUUUUUUCUUUUAGUUUUAUCUCUUUAAGUUAGAUAUUCUAAAUAAAUGUGCAAUUUUUUGUAAUAUGACCUGUCAACCGAACUGAGCACUAUACAAAGUCAGUGGGUUUUAAAUUAAUUCAAAAUGACACCAUUAUUAAUUAUAUCAAAUUUGUAUCAUCCGUUUAAUAAACCACGUAUUAAUUGUUUGAGUUUCGAAUAUUCAACAACUCAUUUAUAAUUAAUAUGAUUAUGACCUGUUCCACAUGCAUGUUCAAUAAUUAUUCUAGUGUUUGAGAUUCUUGAUUCGACUAACAACCUAUUUGAAUUCGUGCACCCAAAAGUAUUGUUCUAUCUUAAUUCGGUAUCUAUGUUGGUUUAUUUCAGCCCCAAAGUGCAAGGCAGGAUAAAAACGAGAUACAACCCCUUGCUAGAUUUCCCGGAAAUGAAAACUUCAGCUGCAUAGAUAUCGAAGAAGAUGCCAGCAAUAUUGACGUGAGGCAGAUGGAAGGAAAGGUGGUAGUAUCUCCAUCUCUUCCAUAUUAUAUUUUGAACUCAGCUACUAAUAAUAAUAAUAAAUAAAUAAAUAAAUAACCUCACUUUGCUAAUUGUUAUGGUGUUUAUUUCAGGUUGUAAGGGAAAAGCAGAUUAAUGAUGUCCGAGCUAGUCUUGGAUCCAAUAAGAUUGAAAAGUCCUGUAGCGGGGUACAUCAAAUCGAAAAUGAAAUAAGCAACGAUGAUCACAAGGCACAGAAAAGAAAUUGCGGCAAUCAAAAGGUGAAAAAAAAAAACAAUAAUAUUACACAGAAAAGAAAUUGCGGCAAUCAAAAGGUGGCAACGAUGAUCACAAGGCACAGAAAAGAAAUUGCGGCAAUCAAAAGGUGAAAAAAAAAAACAAUAAUAUUACACUUUUAUUUAUACAAAAUAUUUUAUAUCUUUGUCACCAGUCAAUGAAUUUAUAUUUUAAUUUCAUAUUUAGGUACAUCUUUUUUUGUUUAUUCAAAUGCAUUAUUGUAAUUAGAUUAUAAUCUAUUUAUAUAUGUUAUUCUUUUGUUUUGGUUUUGGUUCUGUACAGGAUGCUUUGGAGUGGAUCUUAAUGAUCGCCAGCUUUCUCCUAGAACUUCCAUCUGCUUUUCUUGAUCAACUUGCUUCUGUGCAUAAACCCCAAUAUGCACUUUGUGGUAUUCUAAUUUCAGUUGCAGCAUUGCUUAUAUGCGUUGUUGAGCUAAUUUUUAAAGCCAGAAAAGAAAAAGUUGCAUGGAAAUGGAGAGGAAGAUUAUUGCCUUGCUUUUAUCCACGACACAAUCAGAAGCUUUUUGAUACCUUCAAGGACAAUAUUAUUGGCGGGGUUGUUGCUUUCUGCCAAGUCAUUAUCAUAACAAUUAACUAUGCUUUUUUGAGACAAGGUGCGGGUAAGCCUAUUCAAGUAUGUGUGUGGCCUAUCAUAUUCAGCUUGGGUCAAAUAUGCUCCAAAAUUUUAUAGAGCUUAGAAACGGGUCAUUUCGUGGGGAUGAGAUUCUUCAAGACGUAUUGUGCUUGGUGGAUACACUAAAUAUUCUGGUGGAUUAUAAUUGGGGUUCGGCUACGGUGCAAUUGUGGUACCGUGCCACUGUUGCAUCUAGCUGUUGGAUGCACUUGAAUGGCUAGGGUCUAUGGACAUUCAACGGCUGGAUGCAACUGUGGUACGGUACCACAAGUUUUCCCUUAUAAUUGUACUGUAAUAGUCCAUAGAUAAAAAGGUCGUGUUACUUUUGGUGCUUGAGAUAUUUGUGCUUUGAUUAUGGCAACGAGUUACACGCUUCAUUGAAAAGUAGCAUACGAAAAAUACGUUUUCUUUACAAAAUUUUCCAUCUACGUCAAGUAGACCUUUUAUCCAUCCACAUAUAAUGAAGAGGCUUUGGCAUCAUUAUAUCAAUUAAUUUACAUUCCCCAAUAACUCAAAUGACUUUUGGUUGACUAUUUCUGCUAGUAUCCAGGAACAUAUAUAGUUUGAAAGAAAUGAUGAAAUUCAUCUUAUUGAUUCAAAGUUUAGAAAGCUUCGGCGCUCAAUUUCUACAUGAAAAUAAAAUAUAGAAAGAAAAGAAUCAUGUAAAUUUUUUUGGCUAAAACAGUAAAAAAUUAUAUAAAAUAAUAUUGUUGGGACAUAAAAAAUUACUACUUCAGGGUAGUUAUUUAUUCAUCAAUAAAUGAGUGUUUACUGAUUUUGAAAUACAUUUUUGUUUUGUUUUGAGAAGAGUUUUAUUGGUAUUAUUUGCAUAUAAGACAUUGCUAAGUUACAGCCAGUUGUAACUUACACCCCAUUUUAAAAACAUGUAAAAAAUAAGAUCCACAUAAUUUUUAUAUAGGGUGUAAGUUACAGCUGACUAUAACUAGGUAAGGCCCUAAAUAUAAAAGAGUAUCAAAGUCAAUAAACUUUUUCAAUCUUGUAAGAUCGAGUUAGAUGAAGGUAAGACUAUUGAACAAGUUAGUAAAUAUGAAGGUAUACAUAAAUUGCAUGAAGUUAUUUGUGGUCUCCACUAUAGAAAUGCAAUAGAUAUUGAGCAACUUUUCAAUUAUCCUAGUGAAAAUGAUGUAGUGAUGGAAUCACCUACUGAUGAAGAGAUUAUUUGAGGAAUAAUAUAUACCUCUGUUUAUGACGAUCAUUAUCCAGAUGAUGGUUGUAUUUUAUUAGGUUUUUCCACAAAAGAGGCCUUUCAAGUAAUAAUAUGUGUAAAGAACUACUCUAUACAACAUGAAAAUAAUAUACUAAAUGUAAUGCAUGCUCCGCAAAAAAUAAAUAUAAUCACAUAUAUAUUUUAAAAUAAUUUUAAUAUCUAAAAAAUAUUUUAUUUACAAUCUAUUAGAUAGAUUUUAUUAUAUUAAAGUAAAUUUUAUAAUAAAUAGAAUCAUAAUAUUAAAAUAAAUGUAUUAAAAUUUAAAUUAUUUUGAAUAUNNNNUCUAAAUGUAGCUUUAAAAAAUUUCAAAGAAAUCUGCUGUACCGUACAUCCGCCUUGGCCGUACAGCAGCAUAUUGUUAGUCUAUUGCAUAGAUUACAUUAUUUAUUUUAAUAUAAAAUAUGAAAAUAUUGUUAGUCUAUUACAUUAUAUUUUAAUAUAAAAUAUUAUUAAAAAUCCUACAAUAAUAAGUUUAACAUUAUUAUUCUAGGCAUUGUUUAAAUGAUAAUGCAGUUAAUCUUCUGAAAAUAAGAAUAGCAAAGGUGAGCAAAAAGAGCGACCUGGGAGCAAUUACGAAGAUAAAGAAAAGAAAUAGGGAAUUAUGUGCUAGGCAUUAAAGAAGGAAAUGUGGUACAUCUUUAUUGUUGCUGCCUAUGCUUGAAUCUCUUUCUUUCACAUGUGCACACAUACUUUUUUUUUUUUUUUUUUAAGUUGCCAAUAAAAGAAAUUACUGCGAUUUUUUUUAAUAUUUCGUUUGAUUAGCUGUUGUACUAUGGAUACUACAGAAUGCAUUUCAUUGUUUUUUUAAAAAGUAAUACUAACUUUCAUUCAAAGUUUGAAAGAGUUGAAUACAUUCAUAAUUUCGAUUGGAAAAGAACCCAAUCAAACAACAGUUUCUAAGUGAUCAAAAACUAAUCUAGCCAAUGAGUGGGCAAUCGCAUUACAAGAUCUUGGUGUAUAAUGACAUUUAACCUUGCGGAGAUCCUUAAGCUUGUUUUGAAUCUCUGAAAUGACCCAGUAAAUCUCAUUCUUACUGCCCUUUCUGUUGUUAAUUAAAUCAGCCACCAUUUGAGAAUCAGUUUCAAUAAUUAAAGAGGAUAACCCUGCAUCCACAGCUGCUUGUAAACCCCAUCUGACUG
RNAcentral lists this long non-coding RNA (74669 nucleotides) under Citrus sinensis (sweet orange). RNAcentral's name for it is "long non-coding RNA (CSIN_LNC003038)". The record is from RNAcentral. Lineage: Eukaryota; Viridiplantae; Streptophyta; Magnoliopsida; Sapindales; Rutaceae.